RNAcentral lists this long non-coding RNA (45982 nucleotides) under Ananas comosus (pineapple). Its description in RNAcentral is "long non-coding RNA (ACOM_LNC032410)". The record is from RNAcentral. Lineage: Eukaryota; Viridiplantae; Streptophyta; Magnoliopsida; Poales; Bromeliaceae.
AUAAUUUUUUUUUCUAUGAAAAACUUAUGCUUUAGUUAUUUGGUUUAAAAACUAAUUUUUUUGGAAAGUUUUUUUUUUUUUCAAUUUUUAUGAAAAAUCAGUAUUUUUAUUUUUUUCUAAAAAAUUGAAAAGAGAAAACAUUAAUCUGCGAUAAAAUUUGAAACAUAAAUUUUCAAAAGAGCUAGUUUUUAUAUGAAACUAAACGGACGAAAAAAUAAAAUAGAGAUUUUUUAUGAAAAGAUUUUUUCCCGCAAAACUUUUUUCCGUACUUUUUCUUCCGAGGAAGCCAACACCCUUUUAUGCCAAGGACCAAUUUAAAGAGCUUAUUGGUAUUGAUGCUUAUCUAAUGUUAUUAGGUAGAAUGAAGUUGCGGAUUGCUUCCUUAUUUUUUGACGGGUCCACGAAAAACUUGUCAUAAUUGACUCAUUCUUUGUGACAUUGCUAUGUUGCCCUUGCAAAUAGUCUUUUACCGUCGCAAAUUUUUCUUAUUUAUCCUUAAAUUAAGGGCAAACGAAGUAUUUCGACUUUUUAUCGUUUCAAAUAUUUUUUUUUAUCGUCACCAACUUUUUUUUGUUUGUCUUUAAGUUAGGGGCAAAAGGUUUAUUUUGACUUUUUAUAACUCUGGUAAAAAUACAACUCGGCUUUAAUCUGAUAUGACUUAACGGGUAUUAACAGCUGGGUUAUUUUUGAAUAACGAAAAAUAUAUAUGAGGUGUAUAUUUAAAAUAAAAAAAUAAAAAAAUAUAUAAUAUACCAGAAGUUUUAAGAAAUAUAUUAGAUAUAUAUUUUUUCUAUCUACUUUUUCACAUCUAAAGUGGUUUAAUCCCAAAAUAUUUGGGUCGAAUCCGUACUAAGCCUUUUAGGCCAGCGCAAAUAGAUUCCAACCUGUGAACCAAUUUAAAAGCCCAUCAAAGCCCAAUAAGAGCGUCUAUUAAAAAAAGGAUUAAUUGCAUACAGAUCCCCGCAAACAUAGUAAAUUACAAGUAUCUUCCUAUAAAGUUCAACUUUCAUAAAUUAUCGCUGCAAAAGUCCUAAUAUUUUCAUAUAUGUCUAUGCCGUUAGAAUCCGUUAGAAAAGUUUAGUUAACUAUAAGUUAAAUACUUUACCCUAAUUAAUUUUUGACAUUUUUAUCCCUCUUAUUUUAUACUGUUAUAAUUUUUGGAUGGACAUUUAUAAUGAUAAAAUUUAAAAUAUAAACAAUUUUUUAACGAUUUUCUAACGAUAACAAAUCAGAAAGAUAUAUUUAAAAAUAUUAUGACUUUUAUCGGCAUAAUUUAUAAAAAUUAAAUUUUAUAGGAAUAUAUUUGUAAUUGACUAUGAUUGUGGGGAUGCAAUUAACCCUUAAAAAAAAAAAGAAAAAAAGAAAAAAAAGGCGUCUAUAAAAUACUACAAGUAUUGCAAAACCCUCGCGAAAACCCUUCUGUAAGGUCUCUUCCUCUUCGUCGUCUUCGUCUUCAACCUCAUGAGGGGAAACGACGAUCUCGAUCUCCGCCCAUGGCGCCCGCGCCCUGGCCCCUACCUCGGCGAGAUCUCCGCCCUCUCCCUCCUCCCUCUCCCCUCCAACCUCUCCUCCUUCCCCCUCCUUCUCGCAGGUACCCCUCCUCUCUCUUUCUCUCUCUCGAAAUCUAACACCCGAUUGCCCUAAUCCGCCCCUUCUCUUCAUCAGGAUCGGGGUCGCAGCUCCUUGUUUACGCGGUGGAGUCGGGGAGUCUCCUCAAUUCGUUUCAAGUAUUUGAGGGGGUUCGUGUGCACGGAAUCGCGCCUCGGUUCCUUCGAUCGACGGAGUUGUUGCCUUUCUCGGUGGCGGUGUUCGGUGAGCGGAGGGUUAAGCUCUUUGCGCUGCGUGUCGGGGCUGGGGAUGGUGGUGCGGUCGCCUCGGUGGGGCUGGAGUUGCUAGGGAGGUUGCCGGGGUUUGAUCACUGGGUUCUCGACGUGCGCUUCUUGGAGGUGAGCUGAUUACUUGAAUGUUGUUGGUGGAAGCAGCUUCUCUGUUGCUGCUCGAAGCAGCGGCCAAGGAGACAGUUUGGAACUUUUGCUGUAGUCGGAAGCUGAAAUUAGGUCCUGGAUAUGCAAAAACAUAAGCUUUGAUUUGAAUUUUCCGCUUCUGGUGUAGUGGCGAACUGUUGCGUCGCAAUUGCUAUAAUGUGCAAACAGAACUUAGUGCCUGAUCAGUCAUGCUACAGCUUCUGUUUUCAGCUGCAGCACAACUGGUGGAACAAUCUGCGAACUGAAAUGCAGAGCUAAAAUGAGAUUUCGAGCUCCAAAACUAGUAGCUCCAUUUAGGAUCUUCUGGUUUAGUUGCAAAGAGAAGUUGUUGGGAGGGUUUUAUUACUGUUUCUUCUAAUAGUACUACUUAAAAUGAUGCUCUGUCAAAUGUUACUAGCUUUAUCAAAUGUCACUAGCUGGGCCAAACAGGCUCAGUUAGUAUGGAGUUGCAUAGUGACUAGUUGAAUUGGAUAAUUGGUGCUACAGGAAGACGAGCUACUCGCCGUUGGACUAAGUGAUAAUUCCGUGGCUCUAUGGGAUCUUAAAGCGUGUUCUCUUGGUUCCCGAGUAAAAUCCCCAGGUUUGAUAUUUGUUCAUGGAGCUUUAUUUGGUUUUAUCUUCCAUUGUUGGUAAAGUGGUGCAUUUUGGUUGCAUAUGAUAAUCCUCAUACAUUCUUUACGGGCGUAAUUAUGGAUAAUAAUGUGCAGAUAGAUGUCUUUUGUUCUCGAUGAGGAUGUGUGGGAAUAGCAUUGGAUCUCUUCUCGUGGCAUCGGGUACCAUUUUUAAUGAGGUAUGCUUUUUCUUUCUUUCCUUUUUAUUUUUCUUUCUUUUUUCAAAAUCUCAGUUCAUUUGGUUAUGAGAAAUGCUUUUAUUUCUUACUGGCGCAUAAUAGUUUAGGUUGAAUAAUUGUUUUGUGUGUUUUGCUUUAUGCAAUUUAGCAACAUUAUUUCCCCUUGAAGUACCGACUUUUUAAAUGCAAAUGUUGGCUGGGCAAAUAUAUUCAGGAACAAGAAUUUUCACUAUUUCUGAUAUUCUUGCCUGAGGAAGUGAUCAUGAUUAUUGAUUAGGGGUUGCUUCUCUCAGAAUUUUGUUUUAUUGUUAGGGAAGGCGGACUAUGCAUCCUAAGUGUAGUUGCUUUCUUUCACUAUGGCUAGUGUUGUUAGUUUUAAUAUGGCAGCCAAUAGUUUUAUAUCAUUUCAAGAGUGUCAUAAUUUAUAUUUUCACUUGAAAUGGCAAGAAUAUUACUUGUCUUCUUGCAGCAAAUGAUAUUUUUGGAUCUUUUGGUAUGUGGAGGUGUAAUUACAGAUUCUUAAUAUGUGAUGGUUACAUAGGUUGGUUUGAAAAUUAUCUUUCUUAAUAGCAUAAGUAAUAGGGCUUGUGUCUCUCUUUGCAGAUACUUAUUUGGAAGUUAAUUCCUCAAGUCUUGCUUUCAUCGUCAACUUCUGUGGUUGAGACUGGCAAUCCAAGCAUUGCUUGCAAUACAAAUAUUCAUUCUCAUCAAGAAUACAUGGCCAUUCAUUUGAGUAGGCUUAUAGGGCAUGAAGGUUCAAUCUUUCGAAUAGCGUGGUCUACUGAUGGAUCAAAAUUAAUGUCUGUUUCUGAUGACCGCUGGUGGGCUAUCUUCCCAGUUUUAUCUCAUGUUUUUUCAAUUAUGAUGACUUUUUGGUACUUCAACAAAUUUUUAGAUUAUUUGAAUUGCCACUCAUAACUCGUGUACUAAUCGGCCCAUUUUUAAUAAUGUUUUAUUGUCAGGACAGUGCUCGAAUCUGGAUGCUGAGUGGCGGAACACGAGAUUGUAGUGAGUUGGAGAAGAUUCCGGGUAUUCGUGUUGUUACACAACUUUCACUUUUUGGACAUAAUGCGAGAAUAUGGGACUGCUACAUCUCUGAUUCUGUAAGACUUUAUUAUAAAAUGCAAAUGCAUCCUCAGUUUUCUAUAUCAUUUAGAAUUCUUCUAAUAGUUUCUCAUUUCAUACUUGGAAGUAUGCACUUCUUUGUUGGGUUUUGUGACCCAAAUAUCAUGAUGUACAGAUUUAUUUAUUUGUCCUUACUGUUGUUUUUGAUAAGACCUUGGGAGUUGUUGAUGCUUCUAGUUUGAAAUACUUAACUUUAUUUCAUAGUUUGAAAUAUUUAAAUUUAUUGCUUACAUGGUGUCUAAUUAUUUGCUAAUUUGAACCCACUUGAAGAAGUCUGGGACUUGCCAAAAACAAUUAAGCCCAACAUAACAUACUCAAAACUAGAUGAAUUCAAAGUUCAAACAAAUGUCAGUUACUCUACCUGUCACUGUUCAUCUGGACAGAGCAAAACAAAAUUAGUAAACUAUAUAUAGCUUGAUAGAAAAAAAAUAAAUUCAAAGUUCACAGAAACAACAACAGAAGAAAAUUAAUAAACUGAAACAAGGUUGAUAAAGAAAAAGUGUGUUAUCUUGCUUUAAUCGAGUGAUAAAGGUUUCUACUUUGUAUUAUGAUGUGUAUUCUAAUAUUGUGAUCUUUAUUGCUGAGAAACUUUAACCUCUAAGUGCUUUUUCCAACUGAAUUUGCCAUUUAGACAGUUAUUACAGCUGGAGAGGACUGUACUUGUCGUGUCUGGGGAAUGGAGGGAAAACAAAUUAUGAUGUUCAAGGAACACAUGUAAGUGAUUAAAAUGUACUUAACUUGAGUUGAACUUUAUUGGACUUUGCUCAUCUUUCCAGUUUGGUACUUACAUAAGGCAUAAUGAUUGUUUAGUGGAAGAGGGAUAUGGCGAUGUUCAUAUGAUCCCAGCUCUUCCCUCCUUAUUACUGCUGGAUUUGAUUCUGCGAUAAAGGUACAUCAGCUUUGUUCAUCUUCAACUAAGGAGAAAGCAGAAAAUAAUGUGAUGCCAAACGAAUUUGGGCAUCUUACAGAACUAUUCACAAUUUCCCCUCCUAAAGUAUCGAAACAGCUCACAGAUAGGUAUAGCUUUUUAUGUCAUAUUUGACUUUCAGCAACUGUAGUUAAUAUUGUUAUUAAUAGUUUUUUUGUUUUUUGUUUUUUUUGUUGUUGCAUAUGCUCUUUUGCAACUGUAGCUAUUGUAAAUUAUUUAUUGCAACAAUUAUGGGACUUUCACUAUAAUUGAUGCGGAAAGUUUUUGUUGGAAUGAACUGUUUUAUCAUCCUUGAGAAAGAUUUUGCUGUUAAUAAGAGAGAAAGGGUUCAAUAGACAUAAGGUUGUAAAGCAUGCUUAGAAGUUUAGUCAAGGGAAGUAAUUUUUCUUCUUUGGUUGUUGAUUAUUGCGUUAUGAAUCUUGCUAACAGGUAUAACCUAGUGAAGGGUAUUGAAUGCAUCCUCAAGGAGCAAUCUCUGACCCCGACCUUAGUCUAAGAGUUCACAGUUAAUGUAUGGCAUUGAAUGUUAUUUGUCGUGAUACCAAAUUCUAAACAUCAUUAGCAAAAAAAUGUUCUGCAGCAAAAUAAGUUUACUUAUGUGGCCUAGAUGUAAAAGUAAAGCAUGUGCAUGUCCUUCAGUUGUCAUGUGGGCUUACUGAUUUCUCCUUUUGUCUCCUGCGGUAUUGCAGCAAAACUGAAUAUGUGAGAGCCAUACAUUUUACACGAGAAGAUACACUUUUUGUUGCCACCAACAACGGCCACCUGUAUUGCUGUAAGUUCUCUAGUUCUUUGGAUGUAAGGUGGACUCAACUUGUCCAAGUAAGUGAAGAGGCACCAAUCAUUUGUAUGGACAUAAUUGCAAUAAACUCAAGUUUAUCUUUGCAUAUGGACGAUAUUAUUGCCCUUGGAGAUGGUAAAGGGAAAGUGACAAUUCUCCUGCUUAUAAAUGGUGGCUCUACACCCAAAAUGAAUAUGUGCUUUACUUGGUCGGCUGAAAAAGAGAGACAACUACUUGGAGUUUUCUGGUGCAAGUCACUGGGUUGCAGGUUAGUUUAUCAAUUUCCGUAUAUAUUUCUGCAAAAUCUGAAUUUCCAUUUAUGCCCUUUGAAAAUUUAGUUUCUUAUGUGUAUAACUUUCCACUUGUACUAAAUUAACUUCCUUAUGAAUUAGUCGACUCCAAAACUGUAUUUUUUGCUAGAAAUUGCACUUCUGUUGGGUAAAUAUGGUAUUUCAGUUUUGUUCAUAGUUAGUUAAUUCGGAUUUGGCAAAAAUUCGGUUCAAAGUAUAAUACGAAUAAAAUUCGUAUCCCAAUUUUUAAAUUCAUUGAAAAUUACGGCUUAAAAAACAUAUUCGCCAAUUAUUUGGAUACACGAUUUAUACGGAAAUUAUACGUUCACCAAUUAAUAAUUCGGAAUAAAAAAUUCGGCUAUUAAAUUCUUCUUCCCAAUGCCGAGCAGGAAAUCAGCGGAUCCAAACAACUUAUUUGGAUUCAAUUUUGGACCAGUAACAAUUCUAGGGACCCGUUGAUACGAGUUAUUGGCUAACCACAUUAAUACGAGUUGUUUACCCAUAACAAGAAGUAAAAUCAUGAAAAACAGAGAAUAAAAGAGUAGUAUGUCGAAACCAGAUUGCGAGCAGCAUGCGGCGCCGCGGCGGUUCCGAUGGCAAGUGGCUCGUGGUCUGGGGCAGGGAGGGUUUCGAACUUCCCAUGGCGAGCAGCCUCGGCCUCGCGGAGGGUUCCGAUGGUGAGAGGUGCGCGGCCCGGGCCCCGGGGUGGGGAGGGUUCUGAAGAAUCCGAAGUUUCAAUGGUGAGCGGCGCGUGGCUCCACAGGGCCUUCCGAUUGCGAGCGGCCGAAGUGCAGAUGGCGAGCGACGCAUGGCUCCACGGGGGCUUCCGAUUGCGAGGGGGGCAAGGAGGAGGGGAGUGAGGGGGGCUGGGGCAUACUUUGAGCGAGAGGAGAGGCGAACGUUUUCUGCGGGAGUUUUUCUUUUUUUUUUUUUCUUUUUGACUGAGCGGGCGUUUUUUUGGGCCAAUAAUACGGGGUUCGUGAAUUUUUCGCGAAUAAUAACUUUAAACCAAAAAAAUGUGAUUUAUUCCGAAUUUUUGGGAAAAAAACGUAUAUGGGCUGUUUAAUUCGGUUAUCCAAUAAUUCGCGAAUUAUUCGUGAAUUAACUAAGGUUUUGUUUGCUUCAUCCAUUUGUGAUGAUUGAAUAAUCCUCUCAUGUGUGUUUGGUUUUCAUCAAGCAGCCAUCUUUUCACUGCUGAUCCAAGAGGAGUUCUCAAGUUAUGGAGUUUAAGGGAUGCUUUACAGUCUGAUGCUUAUGAUACCGCUAGAAGUCCUGAGGUGCCUCUCGUUGCAAUAUUUGAGUCAUGUUUUGGGGCGCGAAUUAUGUGUAUAGAUGCAUCAGCCAAAGAGGAGGUAAUCAUUGUGUAUUUUGUUGUCUUCUGGCUAAAGCAGUACGAUCAAUAAUGCUGUAACAUCUUGUGUCUUGAGGCCACAAUCAGAAAUAAAAUCCUCCUAAAGAUAAAGAUUAUUGUGCUAUUUCUGCUAGAGGUAACCAAAAUUGCUGUGCUGGUUGGCACGCACUGGCACGACCGAUAAGUACUGCCAGGCCUGCCUGUGCCUAUAAGCCCUGUCUGUCCAUGUUGACUGUGUCAACAUAUAAAAUAGGGUAAGUGUCGAGACAUGCUGCUGUGUCGUGCUGUGCUGUGCUACUGGCACACCAGCAUUUCUCAUGCCAGUGGCACAACAAUCCUUGGAAAAUAGGAUAGAAAACAGCAGAAGAUGAGAAUAUUCGGGUUGAAGAGGAAAUGAGAGGGUAAUAACAGAGAAAAGGAAGGAAAAAACAAUCAAAGCAAUUCAUUCUAAGUCUAAUCAGUUAGUAGUCAUUCCCUUGUCCCUGUUUGUUGGAACAUAAAGAUAUUUAAAGGAGGAUCAUUGUUAAUGUAAUCAUUGUUCCUAUGUUUUAUACCAUUUUCACUUGCAACUUUAGUGUUUUAAGUAGUGAUAUAAGAACUAUUUGAAACCUUUCUUGUUCAGAGUACAAGGAACAUCCGUUAUGCUCAGUAUAAAUGUGUUUUAUGACGAUUUUGUUUUCUUGUAGAUAAUGGUAUGUGGUGACAAGAGAGGUAAUGUUACUGUCUUUCCCUUGAUGGAGGGCUUGAUAUCGUCUGAUUGCUGUGAUUUAUUGGAGAAGAUUUCUCCACUAGAUAGUUUUAAAGGUGCUCACGGGAUUUCCAGUGUGACCAGCAUUUGUGUUGGUGUCCCAAAUUUUAGCCAUGUUGAAAUAUUCACGGUAAGGCACAAAUUAUACUCACGAGAAGACACAAAUUUUAUUCAUGGCAUUGACAUUGGCUGUCAUUACUAUAUUUGGUUACCUUUUUUUUCCUCAAAAAUGAAAAUAUGUAGACGGGAGGAGAUGGCUGUAUCUGUUUCUUUAAGUAUGACAAAGAUGUUCAAAAAGUGGAAUUUGUUGGGAUGAAGCAAGUGAAAGAGUUGAGUACAAUUCAAUCAGUCCUUCCUAUCUCUAUCUGCACAGAAGAUUUGGGUAAUUAUGCAAUUGGUUUCACAUCCACAGAUUUUAUCAUGUGGGACCUUUCAAAUGAAACUAAGGUACUUUAAUUUAUAUUGAUCAUAGAAGCUGAAUUUGGCCACUGCCAAUUUAUUUCAAUUGAUUCUAAUGCACCAAUUGCAUUUUUGUGUAGAUAGUUCAAAUUCCUUGUGGCGGAUGGCGUCGACCUUAUUCUUAUUAUCUUGGAAUAGUACCUGAAUAUCAAAAUUGUUUUGCCUACCUGAAGGUUUGUUGUGCUUUGGUUAUUUUGUCUAAAUUGUGCUAUGUUAAGGUGACAUGUUCAUUUUUUAAAAAAACUUUGCUGAGGAAGUCAAACUUGUAGCUUUCUAAUGCUUUACUACUUGAAUCCACUUCUUAGGACUGUGAUACUUGAGUUCAUUGCAUGACUUUCUUUUCCAGGAUCACACUGUUCAUAUUCAAAGACUCUGGAUGCCAGCUCCUGAAAGAAAGAUGUUUCCCCAAAUUUUGCAUAUGCAAUUUCAUGGAAGGGAAAUACACUCUUUAUGUUUUAUUGCUCUUAAAUGUGAAUUAAAUUUGAAGGAAAGCCCCCACAUGUGGAUUGCAACAGGGUGUGAAGAUGGAACUGUUCGAUUAACCAGGUUUUAACUUUGAAUAAUUCUUUUGAUUAUUUAGAAUUUGUCAACACAAUUUUGUUAAUUUCAUUAUAUCUUUGUCAUGUUCAUUUCCAAAUGCAGUAAGAUUUGAUAUCUUCUGCAUUGCAAUAUCUUCAUCAGAAUAGUAUCUUAAAGGGAUAAUAUCUAGAAGUUGACUAUCCAUAUCAGAUGUCAGAUUCUUCCGGCUGUUAUUAUAUGCCUGAGAUGCCCUUAUCGCUUUAAUCUUCCAGCUGUCAUGGUCAAAGUGAAACCCUGAAAUUUUAAGUGACACAAAUUAUGGCCUAUAAAUAGGAAAAAAGAUCAAGAUGAAGUAGGAAUUAAAGUUUGGCAGAUCAACUCAAUCGUAGCCUCUGUAGUGUUUGUGCAAUUGUUAUUUGGUACCAAGUAAAUAAAAAUGUGUUUCUAUAAAUGAGAAUUGAUAGAUGAGGCUUUUACUGUGUGGUAGAAUUGAAAUACCCUUGCAAAUUAUGGGAUAACCGUGAACGUUUAGCAAAGUUGAACUUCCAAAAGUAUGUACUCUUGAAUCUGUUCAUAACUGAGCAAUGCAAGCUUUGUUAUGCAGCUUAUGCCUUAUAUGUUGCUGCUCAUAGCCAGCAGAGGCUUCUAUGGAGAUAUUGAUCAGCGAAUGGGGGCAGAAGUUGAUAUGUUACUUGUUCAUAGGGUGCCUAUUCCUUCAUAUGCUUCAUAGACUUAUAUUGCGUCGAUUAUUUAAUCAUAGGGUAAAAUAGGUAGUAAAUUAGAAUUCUUAGUGCAGACACUCCCAUUCUAUAGUUCUAGUAAACAUGAUAUAGUGUGCCAGUACAUCAAACCAACUGGAUGUAUUCCCAUAACGGGUUUCUUCUACUCUCUCUCUCUCUCUCUCUCUCUCUCUGUGCGUGUGUGCAAAUUACAACUGGUAUGACUUUACUUCUUCUUGGUUGUACUAAACUACUUACUAAUAAAGCAGAAGUGAUUUCUAAUAUACAUGAUUUAUGUCUUAACCUAGCACUGCCUGUGCUGAAGCAUUUCCCGUUCUUAUAGCACAUAUUUUCCUGUAUUUAAUUCAUUACAGUUUUUAUUUGCCUUAUUGAACUAUCUUGUUGCUUAAAUCCAGCUAAAGUAGUCCUUGUUUUCUUGCUGCAGGUACUCAUCUGAAGGCUGGAUUGAAUCUAAAUUGCUUGGGGAACAUGUUGGUGGAUCAGCUGUUCGGUCCUUAUGCUUCAUACCAAAAAUCUAUGCGUACAAAGAUCAAUCCAACCGUUCUUAUGACAAAUAUACAAAUCCUCUUCUUGAUAGCAAAGACAACCAUUUCAUACUUAUUUCUGUUGGUUCUAAGCAAGUUUUAACAUCCUGGAUUUUACGAAAUAUAUCAUCAGACUUCGGAUCUGAGCAUAUGUCUUCAUCUAUAUCUUUUCAAUGGCUUUCUACUUACAUGCCACCAAAAUCCAGCAAUAAGUGGAAAAUUGAAAAGUUGAUAACAGAGAUGUCUGAAAAGAGGAAUUUGUCGACGUCUGCUCAAAUAUCCAAGGCAUUUCCAACAGAUACAGGAGAAGAAAAAGUGAGUUCCAUGAUCUUGGAUCAAAUUGAAAAUGACUGGAGAUAUCUGGCUGUCACUGCUUUUGUUUUAAAACAUGCUGAUAGCAGGUAAAAACUUUAAAAGCCAUAAAUAAUCUCAGUUUUUCUCUGUUUUCUAUGGCUAUAUUAGCUGAUUUUUUUUAUCCUUUAUAGCUUCCUCACAUGUAUUCUUGUCGAAGAGAGAACUAAUCUUUGGUCUCCUGAAUACUCCAGGUUAACAGUAUGCUUUGUUGUGGUUUCUUGUUCAGAUGCUACACUUAUUUUGCGAGCUCUUCUUUUGCCGUAUCGGCUUUGGUAAGAUGUCUUAUCUUUAGUGCCUUUGUCCACUCACUUUUGUUAAGCUCUUUAUAUAGCUAUUUCCUACUAAUGGUUCAUUAAUCCAGCAUUAAGGCAUCAGGGUAAAUUCUUUCUCACAAUCUUGUCUUUACAGGUUUGAUGUUGCUUUAUUGGUUCCACAGAGGUCCCCGGUUCUAGCUCUGCAGCAUUUGGUUGUUUCUGGAUAUUCUGAUUGUACAGGUUUAGUCUUCAAUGUUUAUCUGAUGAUCAUCUUAUCACCAAUCCUUUUGAGCCUAGGGCUUUCCAUUGUAAUCAAAUAUAAAUAAGAUGCAUAGUUAUAUUCAUGAUGUGAUAAUUUUCAUUUGUAACACAUACAAUGAAGUCUAAAUUAAUGGCUAAAAUUAAUGAGGUUUGGAUCUGGGAAAUGCUCUCAUAUGCCAUUUGAGUGUUUUCGCUUUGGAGUAAAAUCGGUGGAAAUUUGCCUGUUUCUGUCCUUUGUUUCCAGUUGAAUAUCUCCCACUUGAACUCAAUUCUUGAAAAAUUCCCUAUUUAAUGUGAAAUCAUGGACUUGGCAUAGCCUUGCUUUUGUGAAACAUUUUUUUAUUUUAAGCAUUUUCAUAUUUGCAUUACUACUGUGAUUAUGCUAACUUUUUUUAAAAAAUUUCUAAUUGCAGAUGAUAUUUUGAUUGGAAGUACGUAUAUGAUCAUAAGUGGCUCAACAGAUGGGAGCAUUACUUUCUGGGAUCUCACUGAAACUGUUAAGAAUUUCAUGCAAGAAGUUUUAGAAAUUCACCCAGAAACGAUGAUUGAUUAUCAAAGGCGUCCCCGAACAGGAAGAGGAAGCCAGGGGGGCCGGUGGUGGAGAUCUUUGCCAAACCGAUCCUUGGAAAAAAGAGUUUUAGAUACUUCCGCCCAAAAGAAAAUUAUGAAUUCUAACAAUAUUAAAGAUGCGGAUGAGACUGUAUAUGAGAAAUCUUCUGCAUAUGAUAGUACUUCUGUAAGCAUGCAUGAAAGCCUUACCAGAAGCUCAGCACCCAAUCUAGUCGAAGUGAAACCGUUGUUUGUUUUGAACUCUGUUCACCAGUCAGGUGUCAACUGCUUACAUGCUUCAAAGAUGAAGGAUUUUGUGCAUUCAGAACCCGAAAAAAACGAAAAUGCUUACUGUAUUGUAAGUGGCGGGGACGAUCAAGCAUUGAACUGUUUUUGGUUCACUAUUGAAGGAGCUAUGAAAUCCGAUUCUAGCCAAAUUGAAACAGAUGAUAUUAGACCAUCAUUUCAGGAUAAGACAGGUAUUAUCAGAUUCUUAGUACCUGCUUUCUUUUUUUUUUUAUUUGGCUUUUAUUUACUUGAAGAUUGUUUCUUGCCUAGCUCCUAGCAUUGUGAAAUGUUCUCUUCUUGGUUCGUCUAGUGACUGUAAGCUUAGCAUUCUUCAUCAAGAUAAAAUUGCAGCAGCUCAUAGCUCAGCAGUGAAAGGUAGCUGCUAAACUUUUUUCUUUACCCCCUUUCAAUAACUAAACAUUGAACCUUUAUUGACAAAUAUGAAUUUACUGAAUGAUUGUAAAUCCAUCUCAAAUUAAUCCUCCUAACUGUCAAUUGGGAAAGAAACCUAACAUAUUGAACUGAUUAUUAUCAAUUACUACUAUUCUUUUGUGUAGGUAUUUGGACAGAUGGUCGAUGGGCUUUCUCGACUGGUCUUGAUCAGCGAAUCAGAUGUUGGCGAGUUGAGCAUGGUAAAUUAAAAGAGCAUGCUCACCUGAUUAUUAGUGUGCCUGAGCCAGAAACCCUAGAUGCUCUAAUUUGCGACAGGUGGAGCUUUUUCCCAUAUUCUUUUCUGCUGGUGAUUAGCUUAAAAGUACCCUCUUCAACUAAUUAGUUGGUGGUUUUUCUUUCUGGUUAGCAUGAAGAGCAAAUACCAAAUCGCAGUUGCUGGGAGGGGCAUGCAAAUGGUUGAGUUCUCUUCAUCAUAGAGUAGAUUUGAUGUAUUAUUGAAUCGAAAUUUCAGGUCUUGGAUUGAUAUAAACUUUGCUUCUAGUAUUACUUUCCAAUUUGUUGUUCUUUUAUCUAAUUCAAAAUGGAAAUGAUUAAAACUGUCUCUUUGAAAUGCAGGUGUUUUUUCUUCCUGACACCUCAAAGAGGACUUAAUGGUUAUUAACUUAUUAUCGAUUUGACACCGGUGAAAGGUUUUUAUAAUCUCAGAUACCGAUUAAGUCUUGUUUUUAGGUUUUUGCUUAAUUUUCUGAUUAUUUAUUAUGGGAGUUCACUGAAUCUGUUCCGUUAUGGAUUUUAGCUUGCUAUCAGGGAUUCUCUCUAAUUUAUCGACAGUUUGCAAGACUGACCACUUAAUGGCUCGCUAUUGUUGAUUUAUACGUCACAUUUAGGAACACAGACAAAACUAAAAGAUUAGUAUAAUACUUGGUUUUUUGGUUACUUCCUGGAGAGUUACUAGUUAUUUUAACCUGUUUGAAGAAAUCUAUUUGUUUUCUUGGGGUUUUGCGGCAGCUGUUCUCAUGUUCUAUUCAUUUUCUUCAGAAACAAGGACGGUUAAACUAAAGUCUUUGUCAUUUUUCAGUAUCUCAUCAUAUAUUACUAGUGUAGGGCCGGCGCUUUGCGACGGGUAGAUAGUAUUUUAGUCAAUUAAAAAAUAUAUAUUUAGUAAAAUUUUAAGAUUGAAAAAAUUAUAGCUAAAGAAUAAAAAAAAAAGGAUAAUUGCCUCUAUACCCCUCAAAACUUUAAAAAUAUCUAAUUUAUUCAUACUUUUUUUUUGUUUCAAAUAUACCCCUCAUAUGUUCUUCUGUUAUUUAAAAAUGUCCCCACAGUUAUCACCCGUUAAGUUAUCCCGGGUUAAACGUGAAUUAAAUGUCUAUCAGAGUUAAAAAAAAUUUAAAAUUCCUCUUUUGCCUUAAUUUAAGGGCAAAUAAGAAAAGUUGGUGAUGGUAGAAGGGAAAAUUUGAAAAGAUAAAAAAUCAAAAUACUUCUUUUGCCCCUAGCUUAUGGGUAAAUAAGAGAAGUUGGUGAUGGUAGAAGAGUAUAUUUGAAAGGACAAAAUAGUAAUUUUAUAAAGAUAAUGACUGUUGCUAAACAGUUCAUUGACAAAAUUUAACUCUAGUGGUAUAUUUGAAAUAACUUGAAAUGUUAAAAGGGCAUUUUUAAUAUUAGCCUUUUAAGAGGGGUAAAUUAGAAAGCCGGAAAAUUUUCAAGGAUAUAUAAGCAAUUGCGCCAAAAAAAAACUAUAAAAUAGUUUUAUGUACAUUAUAAAAAAUAACAUUUUAUUAAUAUUUUCUUAACUUUCAAUAUUUGUAGAGUUAAAUUAUUCUACUAAUUUUAUUUAAAAAUUUAAUUAAACUUACCAGUUUUAAUAGCUAUUUUAUAAAUAAUUUUUUAAACUAAAAGAUUAAUAAUGUAAAUAGAGAAAAUAAUCAUUAUAAUAAUGUAAAUAAAUUAAAAAAAAUUAAUCUAUACACCGGGUGUAUAAUUAUUUUUUUGCAUUGUAUUUACAAAACUUUAUUAUAGAAGUAAAAAUCCAGUAAUUUUUAUAUAUAGAUUUUUUAUAUAUCAUAGAUUGCAUUUUUGAGAUCAAAAUUUAAUUUUAUUAUAUUAAUUGUCAAAAAAUAGGUUUGGUUCAUAUAAUUAAUUUGUAGACUUGGUGCAGGCAAAAAAAUAGAAUAUAAGGACAUGUUUGGUUCACCUAUUUUAGAUUAUGGAAUCGGAAUGGAAUUCAUUGAUUUCGAUAAUUGUUGUUUGUUUUGUAGGAAUUGGAUUCAGAUUCUCAUUUCACUCCGAAAUGGGAAUGGCCAAAUCCAUUUAUGGCCCAAUCCGGUCUUGAAUUUUAGAUUGGCCUAUUCUAAAGUGAGAAGGGCGGGGGGUGGGGGGGAUGGAGAAGAAAGUGACAUGUGGCUAAAUGACUCACAAUUCAUUAUAUAGAAUAGAAUAGAUUAGAAAAACUUCAAAAAUGUCCUUUUAGUAUAGUGCAUUAGCAGCUUAGAGUGUGUUUGGUUCCUCGUAAAAUCACCUUGAAAGAAAAAUUUCGGUGAAAAAGUGAGAUUCCGACGUUUGUUUGGUCGUAAAAAGAUUUUCUCGGAAUUUUUUUUUUACGAAUUGUAAGGAAAACGCGUGUUUUCAUUUUCCGCUUGAAACCAGCAGAAAGCGAAAACCAACGCCCGAGAAAUCGCGGCAUUGGGAGGGUGAGGGGGGCAGCAGGCACGCGGUCCACGAGGCAUACCCCACCUCGUGGACCACGACCUCUCUCUCCCCCCUCUUUUCUUUUACAUAUAUAUAAUAUAUUUAUAUUUUAAAAAUAGUAUUUUAUUUUUACUAUAAAUAUAUUUAUAAUAUAUUAUUUUAUUUAUAAAUAUCUAGUAAUUUAUUUUAUAGUAUUAAAUAUAUACUAUUAUAUAUAUUAUAUUACAUACUUAAUUAUUGCAUAAUAUAUUUUAAAUAUAUUUUAUUUAUAAAUAUAAACUAUAAUACUACUAUAUGUAAUAUGAUAAUAAUUAUAUAGCAAUAAUAUAAAAUAUAUAGAAUAAGAAAAAAUAUAUAACCUUUUCUUUUUUCUUUCCUUUUAAUCAAACAACUGUAACGAAAAAUUAUUUUUUUCCCUACAAACCAAACAGUAAAGGACGUAAAAUUUAUUUUCAUUCGAAAUUUUUUUUUCCACCGAAUUUUUUUUUUUUUUUUUUUAUAGUUUUAUGUCAAAAACCAAAGACACCCUUACUACUUUUGGGUGAAAGUAUAGUAGCCUGUCAUUGUGUGAUUUCCUUUUUAGUUUUCCCUUAGGGCUUACUGGAAAGAAAUCCUAGAAAGUAUAACAUUUUAAAAACUACUAAAUGGAAAUAAAGUGCUAUUUUUCAUGAUAUUUAUAAAGUGUAGAUAACACAAGUUACUGGUGUUACAAUUUCAAAUCGCACCAUAGUACACGCUGCAAAUGCAUUCAUUAUAUUCUGGGGGUGCUUUUAAUGAACUGUCCUUAAUGUUUUUUACAGUUCACUCUAAUGCUGAUGACCAGCGCCUAGGAUUCUAUUAAAGACAUUUGUGUAUGUUUGCUUCUCCAGAUGCCGCAGGUGAAAUUAUGUUUCUUGUCUGAAAGCUCAGUGGGGCAGCUUGAGAGGUACAUCUCCUCAUAAAUAUUUCUUCCUUUGGAAGUAUUUGCUGGUUUCCUCAAUGCAAAUGUGGUGUGAAAUCUUGUGUUGUUGACCAAUUCCUAGUCCUAAUCCACCGUUUAUUUCGGGGUUUGCUUUAGUUAGUGACUGAAUCACAUAGCCUGUUUCCAUCUCUUUGAGAACAUUGGAUGCCUAGUUACCGAGUUUUUCGAGGCAAUCCAGUUAGGUUUCUUAAGAGACUGGAUUAGACUAGGGUGGCAUAAAGUUAGUGCUUAGUUAAGAGAGGCAUAUACUAUCGUUAUACUAGUCUAUAUUGAGAUUUGGACCUAAUUUUUUGGUACGUAAAAAGUGAGAAAAUUUCCUCUUUUUCCCUGUUUUGGAAAGUUGUUGGGAGUUGUUGAUACUUUGUCAUUAAGUGUGAUGAUGCAGUUACUUUCCUUUGGUUUCUUCCUCAUUAUAUUAAUCUAAAUUACUAUCAGAAAAUCCGCGAUAUGAGAUUGAUUUUCUUUGGAUUGAAAGUAGGUUUUGAUCAAGAUUGGCAUUUCCCCGUUUCUUGAGUUGUUUGAUUGUAUAUAGCUGUUGUUGCACUAAAGAUCUAAGUUUAUUGUUUGAAUUACUGCAUCAGCAUUAUAUAGUUUGUGUAUCUCUUCUAAUUUAAGUAAUUGCUUUAUAAGCUGUACCAUCAGAGGUGGCGAAAAUAUGUAGGGAUAUGGACCAUUCAAAUCAUAUCUUAAUCAAGCGUGUUGUUAUUACAUACAUUUUUUUUUUUGUUUCCGUAUGCAACACAUUAUUCAGAGUCCUAAAUGAAAUCUAGGAACAAUACUAAAUAAUAGCAGAUGUGAAAACGCUGAAAUUAAUGGCUGAUUUUUAUGUGGUUUAGGAUGCAUUGAAGUGUGAACAUAUGAGCAUUGACUAUGUAAUGUUGUAGCCAAAGUCACAACUCUCAAUAUCAAUAAUGAACCGACCGCCCCUAUAGCAAGUGGUAAAGGACUUGAUGGUUAGUACCUGAGGUUCUAAGUUCGAAUUCUAGUUGAUUCAUAUUUUCAGCUAAGUUUAUUUCUAAAUGAAAUAAACGAAGCGGGUAGUGUGCUACCUAUCUCUCUCUCUCAAAAAAAAAAGAAAAAUAUAACAUAUCUCUGUGCUGAUCGGACAGAGUUUAUACUAAUGUUGCUGCACUAUAGAUAAUAUGAAAAUAGUGUUUAUAGUAAAUUAUGCUUUUGGCCCUCAAACUAUGAGGCGAGUGACACUUUAGUCUUCGAAUUCUAAUUUGUUGUAAUUUUUGGCUUGAACUAUGAGGCAAGUGAUUUUUUAAUCCUUGAACUUCUAGCUCAAAAGUAUGAGAUAUGUGAUAUUUUAGUCUUCAAAAGAUUUGUAACAAUAUUCUAUUUGAUGAUGUAAUAAUAAUUAAAAUGAUACAUUACUUCAAUAUUAGUAAUUCAUUGAUACUUAUUAAAAAAAAAAAUGUUUAGUUGAAGAAGGAGAUAAGAUUAAUGUGCUUUUUUUUUAGGGUGUAUUUCAGCGUGUUCCUUUAAUUCUCAUCACAACUAAGGCGAAGAAUAGAAACUAAAGUAUGGAUGUGAAUAUGAUAAUUCAGUUUUUGUGUUUAAAUACGGUGGUUGGAUUUUCGUGUUUAACUUAAUAUGAUUUUCUCCUAUCUAAUGUGAUGCUCCUGUGGUAAGAAACAGGCCAUUUAUAUAAAUAGGAAUUUGUUGGGGUCAUUUGUAAAUAAAAUAUUUUUGAGGGAGCUAAAUUCCAAAAAAGGCCCCAAUUAGAUGUAUUUAUUUAUACAAUACUUGGAGAGAUAUCUUCUUGGACACCUCUUAAACUGCAAAAAUUUGUACUUUCUCUAGGUUAGGAGUAAUCUCGCAAUUCUACAUAUAAAAUGAUAAUAUAAUCAUAAUAAAACUAAAAAAAUAUUGUAGUUGUAGUUCUCUCAACUAUAUACAUGCUAUCUUAUUAGACAAAUAUAGAUACAACUGGUGCAUGUUCCACUGCAUUACAUAAUUAAUGCACUAUAAUAUUUUAUUUACAAUUAUAUUAAACUAAAAGCUAGUUCCAUGUUUUAUUCCUUGAAAUGUGCUACAAUUGCCACGAGUGAGUACUUAUUAUACAAACAACAGCUGUUGCUGCUUUUUUUUAUUUUUUUUUAUUUUUUAUUUUUUUAUGUUUCUUUGCUUCUUUUUUUUUUCUUAGUAAGAAACACCAAAAAGCAUAGCAGUUACCUAACCCUAAUUUUCAAAUGGAAUUGUUUUGUUGCAUCAAAGAGGAAAGAAGAGUGUAUGGCAGGGCCGAGGGUAAUUAUGAAGCUUCUAGAACAUGGGAAAGAAAACAGUUUUAAUAUGAUCAUGCAAUAUUAGCUUCCAUUUGUGGAAUAUAAAAUAUUAAACAUACAAUAUAUAUCUUAAUGUGAUCACACAAUAUUAAUUAAAGUAUACACACCUCUUGUACUCAAAUUGUAAUAGUAUGCUGAUAUUUUUUUCCUAGGAUUUCAUAUAUUAAACUUCAAAAUGUUCCUUAUAAAAUAUUGUGGUAUUUUUGUAUGUACAAGUAAUUUGUGGAGCAUUACAUUAAGAUAUAUAUUGUAUGUUUAAUAUUUUAUAUUCCACAAAUGGAAGCUAAUAUUGCAUGAUCAUAUUAAAACUGUUUUCUUUCCCAUGUUCUAGAAGCUUCAUAAUUACCCUCGGCCCUGCCAUACACUCUUCUUUCCUCUUUGAUGCAACAAAACAAUUCCAUUUGAAAAUUAGGGUUAGGUAACUGCUAUGCUUUUUGGUGUUUCUUACUAAGAAAAAAAAAAGAAGCAAAGAAACAUAAAAAAAUAAAAAAUAAAAAAAAAUAAAAAAAAGCAGCAACAGCUGUUGUUUGUAUAAUAAGUACUCACUCGUGGCAAUUGUAGCACAUUUCAAGGAAUAAAACAUGGAACUAGCUUUUAGUUUAAUAUAAUUGUAAAUAAAAUAUUAUAGUGCAUUAAUUAUGUAAUGCAGUGGAACAUGCACCAGUUGUAUCUAUAUUUGUCUAAUAAGAUAGCAUGUAUAUAGUUGAGAGAACUACAACUACAAUAUUUUUUUAGUUUUAUUAUGAUUAUAUUAUCAUUUUAUAUGUAGAAUUGCGAGAUUACUCCUAACCUAGAGAAAGUACAAAUUUUUGCAGUUUAAGAGGUGUCCAAGAAGAUAUCUCUCCAAGUAUUGUAUAAAUAAAUACAUCUAAUUGGGGCCUUUUUUGGAAUUUAGCUCCCUCAAAAAUAUUUUAUUUACAAAUGACCCCAACAAAUUCCUAUUUAUAUAAAUGGCCUGUUUCUUACCACAGGAGCAUCACAUUAGAUAGGAGAAAAUCAUAUUAAGUUAAACACGAAAAUCCAACCACCGUAUUUAAACACAAAAACUGAAUUAUCAUAUUCACAUCCAUACUUUAGUUUCUAUUCUUCGCCUUAGUUGUGAUGAGAAUUAAAGGAACACGCUGAAAUACACCCUAAAAAAAAAGCACAUUAAUCUUAUCUCCUUCUUCAACUAAACAUUUUUUUUUUUAAUAAGUAUCAAUGAAUUACUAAUAUUGAAGUAAUGUAUCAUUUUAAUUAUUAUUACAUCAUCAAAUAGAAUAUUGUUACAAAUCUUUUGAAGACUAAAAUAUCACAUAUCUCAUACUUUUGAGCUAGAAGUUCAAGGAUUAAAAAAUCACUUGCCUCAUAGUUCAAGCCAAAAAUUACAACAAAUUAGAAUUCGAAGACUAAAGUGUCACUCGCCUCAUAGUUUGAGGGCCAAAAGCAUAAUUUACUAUAAACACUAUUUUCAUAUUAUCUAUAGUGCAGCAACAUUAGUAUAAACUCUGUCCGAUCAGCACAGAGAUAUGUUAUAUUUUUCUUUUUUUUUUGAGAGAGAGAGAUAGGUAGCACACUACCCGCUUCGUUUAUUUCAUUUAGAAAUAAACUUAGCUGAAAAUAUGAAUCAACUAGAAUUCGAACUUAGAACCUCAGGUACUAACCAUCAAGUCCUUUACCACUUGCUAUAGGGGCGGUCGGUUCAUUAUUGAUAUUGAGAGUUGUGACUUUGGCUACAACAUUACAUAGUCAAUGCUCAUAUGUUCACACUUCAAUGCAUCCUAAACCACAUAAAAAUCAGCCAUUAAUUUCAGCGUUUUCACAUCUGCUAUUAUUUAGUAUUGUUCCUAGAUUUCAUUUAGGACUCUGAAUAAUGUGUUGCAUACGGAAACAAAAAAAAAAAUGUAUGUAAUAACAACACGCUUGAUUAAGAUAUGAUUUGAAUGGUCCAUAUCCCUACAUAUUUUCGCCACCUCUGAUGGUACAGCUUAUAAAGCAAUUACUUAAAUUAGAAGAGAUACACAAACUAUAUAAUGCUGAUGCAGUAAUUCAAACAAUAAACUUAGAUCUUUAGUGCAACAACAGCUAUAUACAAUCAAACAACUCAAGAAACGGGGAAAUGCCAAUCUUGAUCAAAACCUACUUUCAAUCCAAAGAAAAUCAAUCUCAUAUCGCGGAUUUUCUGAUAGUAAUUUAGAUUAAUAUAAUGAGGAAGAAACCAAAGGAAAGUAACUGCAUCAUCACACUUAAUGACAAAGUAUNAUAUAUAUAUAUAUAUAUAUAUAUAGAGCUAGGCUGGUAUACUACCGGUAGCACGGAGGCCUCCGUGGUACCAAGUUGUUUUCAAUAAUGCGGCUUCUAAAUCGACGAUUGGCUCCGUUAGACUUGAUCUACACUAUUAAAAGUAUUUAGAAACUACGUUUCAUAAUUUUUCGAUAUCAUUUGGUUAGUGAUCAAAAGGUCUCAAAAUUAACAAUUUUAAUGAUAGAUGUGAUGCGUUUGUGAAUUUAACGGUAUAAAACAAUCCAAAUUUAAUAAAAUUUUUAUAAAUUUUUUUUUUCACUAUUUAAAAUAAUAUCAGUAUCUCUGAUCUUAAAUUCAAGCUUUUUAUCAUCAUUUUUUAUGAGAUUUUUUUUUUCAACCGUUCAUUUUUAGACUACUCGUUUGGUAGGUAAAUGAUAUCGAAAAAUUAUAAAAUUUAGUUUCCAAAUGCUUUCAAUAGUAUAGAUCAAAUUUAAUGAAGCCAAUCGUCGAUUUGGAAGCCACAUCAUUAAAAACAACUUGGUAGCACGGAGACCUCCGUGCUACCGAUAGUAUACCAGCGUAGCGCUCUCUCUCUCUCUCUCUAUAUAUAUAUAGAGAGAGAGAGAAAGAGAGAGAGAGAGAGAGAGAGCGCUAGUCUCUUAUACUAUCUAUAGUACCGGGGUUCCGGUACUAUAGUCUCGUUUUUGAUAUUAGGGUGUUCAAAUCAACGAUCAACACUGUUAAAACGGAUCUAAGGUAUUUAAAGUUUUUAGAAAUAAAAUUUUAUAUUUUUUCGAUAUAGUUUAUUUUUAUGAUCAAACAAUUUCAAAAUUGUCAAUUUUCAAUGGCUACUAUGGCGAGUUUGGAGUUUAACGGUGUAGAAGAAUCUAAAUUUGUUCAAAUUUUGAUAGAAAAUAUUUUAAACUAUUUAGAUUAAGGUUAACAUUCUUGAUCUUGAAUUUAAGAGUCCUAUGUUCAAAUUUUAAAAAUUAUUCAAUUUUUAUCGUCUAUUUUGACAUAAUUUAUUUACUAAAUAAACGAUGUCGAAAAAAACUAAAAUUUUAUUCCUAAGAACUUUAUAUGCUCUAGAUUAUACUUAACGGUAUUGAUCGUUAAUUUGAACACCAUAAGAUCAAAAACAAGACUAUAGUACCGGAGCUCCUGGACUAUAAAUAGUAUAGUAGCCUAAUUCUAUAUAUACUAGGCCCCACCAGCACCAACCUCCUCUUGGUGCCACAUGGAUGCAACUGAGGUUUCAUUAUAUCUUAUAUAUAUAUAUAUAUAUAUAUAUAUAUAUAUAUAUAGGCUGGGGCUAUUUUACUUAUAUGAGUAUAGAGCCCUUUGUACUUAUAACUUUUCGGCCGUUCAGAUGAAAAAAUGUGCGGUUGGGAUGAUGGUGGUUACGAUUAGGUUGAUAGUGGCCCCCCUAGGGUCGAGUGGGUGGUUGGUUGAAUAGUAUAAUUUAACGGGUGAAAAUGAUUAAAGGGUAGAUCGAACGGUAAAAAAUUUAUGAGUACAACAGGCUCUAUACUCAUAUACUCUGAGUGUAGUAACCGGACUAUAUAUAUAUAUAUAUAUAUAUUUCUCUUUUUUUUUUUUGGUUUUUUGCUACUAUGGUUCACACAGUUUUUCACCGCACAAAUUUGAAAAUCAGAUAUAAUUAAUUAUAAUUAACCACCACCAAAAAAAUUCAUUUUGCANGAAAAAAAAAAAGAGAAAUUGAGAAGAAAUUUAGGGAGAAAAAAAAUUACGAUAUUGAAUUUCUUCUUGAUUUAAUUCUCUUCUCUCUCUCAUCCUAACCAUCUAUCAAAAUUGUUGGAUAAAUAGCAAGUUAGGAGGAUAAGGACUCACGUGCUCCUAAUAACAUAGUGGUCCUGUUCUAUAUAGCUAGCCCAAGAUAGUUAAAGAAAAGGGCAUUCCAAUAAGACUAUUUAUUAGUGUAAAGUAUGGAAAAGAAAAAAGAAAAAAUAAACCUUCUUAUGAUUAUAGCACUUUUUCAGUUUAAUAUCAUACAUGUAGUAGUGUGGUUCAAAAUAUAGCAAUUUUCUUUCUGUAAUUUCUAUUUGUAUCUUUUACUGAAUAAGAACCUAUUAUUAAUUAGAACAGCAAAAUGUUACCCACUAUACAUAAACAUCAUUAAUUAGAAUACCAGCAUCAAGUUCGACACUCUGAACCACAUAAUAGUAAACAAUAAAUACGCCGUAUUCAAGAAUAAAUUAGCUUUUUCUUUUUUUCUUUUUUUCUUUAUUUCUUCGAGGUUCUGGUUGUUUCACCCCUGUAGCCUAAUUUAUAGUUUCAAUGAAUGAAGCAGAUAACGCGCUACCUAUUCUCAAAAAAAUAAAUACGCUUUAUUUUGAACUACAUAAUAGUAAACCAUAAAUAUACUAUAUCUAAAAACAGAUUCUUAUGAUAAAUGGGGAGAGGGAGAGAGAGAAGGAUCAAAUUACUGCUAUAGCCAAAAAAAAUUAAAAAGAAAAAAAGAAAAUUAUAAUCAAUAUUUCUCUUUUUUUUUUUUGGUUUUUUGCUACUAUGGUUCACACAGUUUUUCACCGCACAAAUUUGAAAAUCAGAUAUAAUUAAUUAUAAUUAACCACCACCAAAAAAAUUCAUUUUGCAUAGUAUAGUAAUAUUGAUUAUAAUUUUCUUUUUUUCUUUUUAAUUUUUUUUGGCUAUAGCAGUAAUUUGAUCCUUCUCUCUCUCCCUCUCCCCAUUUAUCAUAAGAAUCUGUUUUUAGAUAUAGUAUAUUUAUGGUUUACUAUUAUGUAGUUCAAAAUAAAGCGUAUUUAUUUUUUUGAGAAUAGGUAGCGCGUUAUCUGCUUCAUUCAUUGAAACUAUAAAUUAGGCUACAGGGGUGAAACAACCAGAACCUCGAAGAAAUAAAGAAAAAAAGAAAAAAAGAAAAAGCUAAUUUAUUCUUGAAUACGGCGUAUUUAUUGUUUACUAUUAUGUGGUUCAGAGUGUCGAACUUGAUGCUGGUAUUCUAAUUAAUGAUGUUUAUGUAUAGUGGGUAACAUUUUGCUGUUCUAAUUAAUAAUAGGUUCUUAUUCAGUAAAAGAUACAAAUAGAAAUUACAGAAAGAAAAUUGCUAUAUUUUGAACCACACUACUACAUGUAUGAUAUUAAACUGAAAAAGUGCUAUAAUCAUAAGAAGGUUUAUUUUUUCUUUUUUCUUUUCCAUACUUUACACUAAUAAAUAGUCUUAUUGGAAUGCCCUUUUCUUUAACUAUCUUGGGCUAGCUAUAUAGAACAGGACCACUAUGUUAUUAGGAGCACGUGAGUCCUUAUCCUCCUAACUUGCUAUUUAUCCAACAAUUUUGAUAGAUGGUUAGGAUGAGAGAGAGAAGAGAAUUAAAUCAAGAAGAAAUUCAAUAUCGUAAUUUUUUUUCUCCCUAAAUUUCUUCUCAAUUUUUUUUUUUUUUUUUUUUUUUUUUUUUUUUUUUAUCCUAAUCAUUCAUCAAAAUUAAUGAAUGAUCGGAAAGUUAGAAGGAUAAGAAUCGCUAUACUCAUAAUAGCACAUGAGCCCUACUCAGCUGUAUAUUAUAUUAUCCAUUUAUGCUAUAAACAAUUCAAGAGCCUCUUAUCUACUCUUCUCUCCCAAUCUCUUAUUAUUAUAUUAGUCUCCUUGCAGUGUUUUCACCUUAGCAUCCUCCUGGCUAGUCAAACCUACUACAAAUAACACUAAUCACCUACCAGUAGAAUAAUAAGAUAAAAAGUAAAAAUAAAAAUAAAAAAAAAUAAAAAGGAGAAAGGAGAAAAGCAAAAGCAUGGCACUGAUCAUGACCUAACUAGUCCUCUGCCAAAGCUGGACCCUUUAAUUAGCAAAAAUUAUUCAAAGCUAUCUAUCUCUCUCUCUCUCUCUCUCUCUCUUUAUAUAUAUAUAUAUAUAUAUAUAUAUAUAUAUAUAUAUAUAUAUAUAUUUUCUUUGUGCAUAUAUAUAUAUAUAUGGNNNNNNNNNNNNNNNNNNNNNNNNNNNNNNNNNNNNNNNNNNNNNNNNNNNNNNNNNNNNNNNNNNNNNNNNNNNNNNNNNNNNNNNNNNNNNNNNNNNNNNNNNNNNNNNNNNNNNNNNNNNNNNNNNNNNNNNNNNNNNNNNNNNNNNNNNNNNNNNNNNNNNNNNNNNNNNNNNNNNNNNNNNNNNNNNNNNNNNNNNNNNNNNNNNNNNNNNNNNNNNNNNNNNNNNNNNNNNNNNNNNNNNNNNNNNNNNNNNNNNNNNNNNNNNNNNNNNNNNNNNNNNNNNNNNNNNNNNNNNNNNNNNNNNNNNNNNNNNNNNNNNNNNNNNNNNNNNNNNNNNNNNNNNNNNNNNNNNNNNNNNNNNNNNNNNNNNNNNNNNNNNNNNNNNNNNNNNNNNNNNNNNNNNNNNNNNNNNNNNNNNNNNNNNNNNNNNNNNNNNNNNNNNNNNNNNNNNNNNNNNNNNNNNNNNNNNNNNNNNNNNNNNNNNNNNNNNNNNNNNNNNNNNNNNNNNNNNNNNNNNNNNNNNNNNNNNNNNNNNNNNNNNNNNNNNNNNNNNNNNNNNNNNNNNNNNNNNNNNNNNNNNNNNNNNNNNNNNNNNNNNNNNNNNNNNNNNNNNNNNNNNNNNNNNNNNNNNNNNNNNNNNNNNNNNNNNNNNNNNNNNNNNNNNNNNNNNNNNNNNNNNNNNNNNNNNNNNNNNNNNNNNNNNNNNNNNNNNNNNNNNNNCCGUGCUACCAAUAGUAUAGUAGCCGGACUAUAUAUAUAUAUAUAUAUAUAUAUAUAGAAUUAAGCUGCAAUGCUAUUAAUAGAACCCAGCUGUAUUGUCAUUAGAUUUUCGGCCUUUAGAUUAAGAAAUGUACGUUUAUGAUGAUAUGGAUCUUGUAGGGUUGAGUGAGUUGUUGAUUGAAUAAUAUAAUCUAACGGGUGAAAAUAGUCAAAAGAAAAUGUAUGAUUAGAAUGAUGUGAGCCUCCUAAAGUUGAGUUAAUUGUUGGUUAAGUAGUAUAAUCUAACGGGUGAAAAUAGUAAAUGGGUUAAAUCUAACGACGGAGAGAGAGAGAGAGGGGGUUGUGUUAAAAUACUAUUAAUAGUAUUUAUGUGAAUAAUAUUUACUAUCUACUUUUUAAUUAUUGAAUUUCUACAAUUUACGCGGCGGGGGUGGGGGCUUUAGUGGAUAGUAUGAUUUAAAUGGUGAAAAAAUUGAUAGUAAUUACUACUCAGAUACUAUUAAUAAUAUCCGAGUUGAACUCUCUCUCUCUCUCUCUCUAUAUAUAUAUAUAUAUAUAUAUAUAUGCAAUGGGAAGCUCUUCAACGACGCCACAUUGAGGAGCUCUCAUUCCGCCUCUAUCUAAGAUCUGUAAUUCUAUCCUCCACAGUUUAAUAUUUUUUUGAAUAACUUAGUAUUUGAAAAAUAUUUAAUAAAUUUUUGAACGAAGGUAAAACUAAUAUGUGGCAACAGAUCAGGGCUCUCUAAUGCUGCAUUUUGGGGAGCUCGAACAUGCAUGCAAAUAGGGUGUUUUUAAAGAUGCAAGGACCAACUUUAUGAAGAUAUAAUUAUACUACAUAAAUAUUUAGCACUUUGAAGGGCUAUCUAUGCAAAAUAAAUAAAAAAAAAUAAAAACCAUUUCUUUUCUGCACCUUUUUGAGUGGAGACUAAAAAUGUGAUCUUUGGUUUGGUGGAGCUUUACUCUUUGGCCAUUGCAUUAAAAAGGAUUUCAUUGUUCUAUAAAAAUUUUAAAAAAAUUUUAAAAAAAAUCGCAUUAAUUUUUUUUUAUUGGAAGAUUGUUCUUCUGUAAUAAAUAUAAUAUGUCAAUAUUAUAAAUAUUACUCCAAUGAUUUAGCCUGUGUGAAGCAUACACUAUCCACACUCCACAUUGUUUGACCAAUUAAAUACAUAGCCCUUUUAAAAAAUAAUUCAUUACAUACAUCAAUGCAUGUAUUUGCUAGGGUAUACUUGGAAAUUUGUACUUGAAAAAUAUAUCUUUACUUAACUGAUCUAACAUGUUCUUAUUAAUGUGAUCACCCACACAUGCUAUAGGAGUUACUUUAUUAAAAAAAAAAAAAAUCCCCAAAUUAUGACACUUUUGUUUCUAGUAGAAAGUCACAUCCCAAAGAUUUGUCAAAAGUGCUUCUCAAAUGAACAAAGAAAAAAAAACAUUUGUCAAAGUGGAAAAAAAACAAUAAAUAGAUGUAGAAAGAAGUUACACUUCUCUAUCUAUCACACAUCAUGAGUCAACAACUAACAUUUAUUAUUAUAAUAAAUUAAACUAGUAAUCCAAAACCUUAAUUAGUUUAGUGUAAAAUAUUAUAUAAAAUUAAUCUUUACAAAAAAAAAAGUGUGUCCACUGUGGUAAUUUUACUAAUAUAGUUGGGCAAAUUCUGUGAUACAAAAAUAAUAUAGUUUUAGGUAUUCUAAGAUAUGUACAAAAAUAAAAUUAAGAAUAAAAAUAUUUUUAUAAGACAGAAAUUUUAUUAUGAAAAUAAAAUUUUCAUAUAGAAGGAGAUAAAGGUUGAGGUAGUAAAAUGUUUUAACAAAAUUUGGUUAUAAAAAAGGUCUUUUCACUUGCUAUUAAAAGUCAUGUGUUGAAAUAUUAAAUGGAAAGAUGUGACCAAGGCACAGCUACACUGAUAGGUGACUUUAUACCAGCCAUAAUCCUGCAAGCAUUAAAGGAGUCUCAACUAUUUGUCCAUUGUAGAUGUGGUUCAUAUAUAUAUAUAUAUAUAUAUAUAUAUAUAUAUAUAGAGAGAGAGAGAGAGAGAGAGAGAGAGAGAGUCCGGCUAUGGUGCUUGUAAAAGCACCAAGUACUUGGUACUUGUAAGUUUUUUACCGUUAGAUCUACUUCUUUGAUCAUUUUCAACCGUUAGAUUAUACUAUUCAACCAACUACCCACUCAUUCCUAGGGGGCCCACAUCAUCAUAACCGCACAUAACUUAAUCCAAGGGCCGAAAACUUAUAAGUACCAAUGACUUGGUACUUUUAAAAGCAUAGGAGCUCAAUUAUAUAUAUAUAUAUAUAUAACUUAUAUUAAUAUAGGAUAAUUGCCUACUAUCUUAUUAAUAGGAUAUGAGUACUUGUUCUAUCAACGUUGUUUUUGAAUGAUCGAGAUUCCGAAUCGAUGAAUCGGAGGCCGUUGAGUUGCAUUUAGAGUAUUUGAAAUUCUAGAAACUAAUUUCAAUAAAUUUUGAUAACUGGUUUACAUGUCGUGAUCAAAUAGUGGUCGUAAAAUUUGACAAUUUUUGACGGCCUAUAUGAGCUUUGCUUGUUUUAACGGUGUAGAGAAUCUUAAAUUGCUUGAUUUUGAUUAGAAAAUUCCUUCUAUACUAUUUUAGAUAAUUGUUGAUAAACUCGAUUACGAACCUGAGAAAGUCUAACCUCUCUAUUUUAAGAGGUGUUAUAUUUCAUGGACCAUUCAUUUUUCAACUCUUAAGAAUGAACUAAUGAUAAUGAUUUUUAAAUAAAUACAAAAUUUGGUUUCUAAAUGAUUUCUUAAAUUAUGAGAUCACUUCAACGGCUUGCGAUUAUCAAUUUGAAGGUUUCAAUCAUUCAAAUUGACAUUGAUAGCGACAGGGGUCCCAAUCCUAUUAAUAGGAUAAGUAGCCUAGGACCCUAAUUAUAUAUAUAUAUAUAUAUAUAUAUAUAUAUAUAUAUAAAGUCCGGUUACUAUACUCUUAUGAGUACGAUCGCCUUCGUACUCAUAAGUUGUUUUCGAUGAUAGAGGUUCCGAAUUGACGAUCCAUACCGUUAAAAGUUAUCUAGAGCAUUUAAUUUAAAACUUCUAGAAAUCAAAUUUUAUAAUUUUUCGAUAUCAUUUACCUUACGAUCAAAAGCUCACAAAAUUGACAAGUUUUAACGGCCGGUAUGGAAUAUUUGUUAGUUUAACGGUGUAAAAGAAUUAGAAUAGGUUGAAUUUUUGAUAGAAAAUUAUAUUCACUACCUAAAUAAAGAUCAAUAACUCCAAUCUUAAAUUAAAGGAUCCAAUCAUCUAUUUUUAGGACGUCGUUCGAUUUUGACCGUUCAUUUUAUGCCCGCUUGAUGGACUUUAUAAUGAUUUUAAAAAAUUAUGAAAUUUAUUUUUAGAAGUUUCAAAUACUCCAGAUCAUGUUUAACGAUGUGGAUCGUCGAUUCGAAAACCCCAACAUUGAAAACAACUUAUGAGUAUGAAAGGCUUUAUACUCAUAAGAGUAUAGUAGCCCUACUCUAUAUGGGUCCGGCUACUAUACUAUUAUGAGUACGAUUUCUCUCGUACUCAUAAAUCGUUUUCGAUGAUAGAGCUUCCGAAGCGACGAUCCAUACCGUUAAACGUUAUUUACAGCAUUUAAAACUUCUAGAAAUUAAAUUUUAUAAUUUUUCGAGAUCAUUUACCUUACGAUCAAGAGGUCACAAAUUUGACAAUUUUUAAUGGCCGGCAUAGGAUACUUGCUAGUUUAACGGUGUAAGAGAAUCGAAAUUGGCUGAAUUUUUGAUAGAAAAUUCUAUUCAUUACAUAGAUAACGAUCAAUAACUCCGAUCUUAAAUUGAAGGCUCUGAUCAUCUAUUUUUAAGACGUCAUUCGAUUUUGACCGUUCAUUUUAUAUCCGCUUGAUAAACUAUAUUAUGAUUUCGAAAAAUUACGAAAUUUAUUUUCUAAAAAUUUCAAAUACUCUAAAUCAUAUUUAACGGAGUGGAUCGUCGAUUCGGAAGCUCGAUCAUUGAAAACAACUUAUGAGUAUAAAUGGCUCUAUACUCAUAAGAGUAUAGUAGGCCUAGCCUAUAUAUAUAUAUAUAUAUAUAGAGAGAGAGAGAGAGAGAGAGAGAGAGAGAGAGUCCAGCUAUGGUUUCCAUCAAGUAUUGCCGACGGUCUCUAGUGCAAGUGGUAAAGUAUUUGCUGGUUGGUAUUCAAUAUCCCAAGUUCAAAGUUUAAUUACUCCACAUUUCCAACUGAAUUUAUUUCUAAAAAAAAAAAAAGAAAAAGAAAUACUAAGUAUUUGGUGCUUGUAAGUUUUUUCCUAUUAAAUCUAACCUUUAACCAUUUCUAAUAAAUAAAAAAAAUUGAUACGCCGUUAUUAACAUAUUUAGGAUAAAAAAGACUAAUUUUGAUUGUUAAAUAUGAAGUUUAGUGUUUAAUUUCCAACUAACUAACCAUACGGCAUUUUAAACUGCACGCAUUAACCAACCAAAAGCCUUCAUAUUUUAGACGGCAUAUUCAUUAGUUAUUUAGAGCAAUGCUAGCGCUACAACAACUUUUUAUAAAAAAAUUUUACAACACUUUACAAAUUAGCAUACAUGGCGGUGUAUAUUUAUUCGGUCGAAAAGCGUAAAUCAUGGGAAAUAAACAUGACUUAAGUUUUCAAGGUUGAAAUUCAAUCGUUAAGUUGUAUAAUUUGUGAAAUGUUGUAAGGUCUACUUGUAAGCAACUGAAGCUCAAAACGGAUUCUCUAAAUCUUUGUUAGGGGUUAGGAUUAAGGCCGUUGGAUAUAGGGUUGUACUUCUACAACCCAUUUUGAGUUACAAACUUAGCAUUUUUCUAUCAAUAAUUUAUAAAAUCAGCAUUCUAGCUAGAGUCUAUGGGCGUGUUUGGUUCGCUUCUUUUUCACCAUGGAAUCAGAAUCGGAAUGGAUGAAUCCGUUUGUGGGUGUUUGGUACGCGGGAGUUCCAUUCCGAUUUCGAUUCCCGAGUGGAAUGGGAAUGCCCCAAUCACCCCUUUUUUCAAUCCGGCCUAGGAGGCCGGAUUGUAAGUUGAAUCCGGACGGAAUGGAUAUUUAUUCGGAUUAAAUUUAUUUUUUCAACUUUUUAAAUUAAAAUAUAAGUUAAAUUUUAAAAAUUAAAUAUAUAAUUUUAAAUUUUAAUUUGAACUUAAAUUAAAAAUUAAAAUUUAAUCAAGUAUUUUAAAUCUAACUUAUGAAUUUGAAUUUAAAUUAAAUUUUAAUUUAUAUGAAGUUUAUUCAAAUUUUAUUUCAAACUUAAAUUAAAUUUAUGGAUUCAAAUUAAAAUUUAAAUUGUAAUUUUAAAUUUGAAUUUGAAUAAAUAAAAUUUUAGUUUCAUAUUUUGAAUUAUCCACUCAACUUCAAAGAUUAAUUUAUUUUAAAAAAAUAGAUUUAAAAAUUUGAUAUUAUUUAAAAAUUUUGAUGUAAAUUUUUAAUAUUUAAUAUUUAAUUUGAAUUUAAAUUAAUAUAUUAUAAAGAUAAUGUUCGUAUAUUAAAUUUGAUUACGGUUUUUUAUAUUCCACCUCGAACCAAACACCAACCAAUGGAAUGAUUUAUUCCGAUUUCCGCAUUCAGGUGAAUGCAAUCAAACGGAAAUUAGGUAAUGAGCCAUUCCGAUUUCGUGAUUCAGCUUAUUUUUGAUUCCGAUUGCCGAUUCUAACUCCGACUUCGAACCAAACACCACCCUUACAUAUAUAUAAUAAUUAGCGCUGGAAUUACUAAUUAAUAGCACAAAAAGAUCGGUGGCUAUUAGCUUUUCUGCCCUUAGAUUGUAAAGAUGUGCUGGUUAAGAUGGAUGUGGGGCCCCUAGGUGUUGAGUGCGGUGGUUAAUUGAAUAGUAUAAUCGACGGUUAAAGAUAUAAAAAAGGUUUAAAUCUAACGGCAGAAAACUUGGAUAGUUACAAUGCUUCGUGCCUAUCGGAUAAUACCUUCAGCACCGGAUCAUAUAUAUAUAGUAUUAUAUAUAUAUAUAUAUAUAUAUAGUAUAUAUAUAAUUAGAGCAAAGUGCUUACUCUGCAGGAGCCACGUGGAGCUGCUCCUGAGCCUGUUUUCAAUGAUGAGUUUCCGAAUCGACGAUCGGCUCGUUAAACUUGUUUAACGUUAUUUUGAGUUUUUCUAGAAAUAAUUUUUGUGAUUUUUCGAUAUCAUUUACCUUGAAGCAAUCGAAAUCAUUCAAAUUUAUAAUUUAAACAUGGCCUGAAAAUAAAAUUUCUAUAAAAAGUGGUAAUAUAGCAACUAAAAUUUUCUGAUCAGAAAUAUUUGAUUUUGUUGUAGCGAUGUAUAAGAAUUAUUUGUAUCAGCAAAUUUCAUCUGAAUUUUGAAUACUUCUUACACCAGGUAACUUGAAAACGGUAGAUAUCAACCAUUGAAAAAUUGAUGAUUUUUGAAUCCUUUCGAUCACUAUGGUAAUAAUGAUAUCAAAAAUCACAAAAAUUAUUUUUUCUUAGAACUUUCAACUGCACUAGAUCAAUCUAAUGGAGCAAUCGUCCGGAUUCGAAAAUUCCUAUCAUCGAAACGGCCUCAGGAUCCAGAGCGAUUCCGUGCCCUGAGAGCAUAGCCAGCACUGCUCUCUCUCUCUCUCUAUCUCUCUCUCUCUCUCUCUCUUCUUUAUAUAUAUAUAUAUAUACUUAAUAUAUAUAUAUGGGAAGGGUCAAAUUUUAUUCGUGGCCCCUAAACUUCAAAAAAUAUCAUAGAUGCCCCUAUAAAUUUGAUUAUAUCACAAUUACUCCUACAAAUACUUAUUAUUUUUCAAAUAUACCCUUACCCUUACCAUUCAUCUCUUUAUAGAAUGAUAAAAUAUUUAGAUUAUCAUAAUAUGGUCAAAAUAUCCAUUUUGCCCUUAACUUCUAAAAUUUUUUACAAAAGUAUUUUAGCAUGAUAUAUUUACUUUAAAAUAUUAAAAUAAACAGUAAAAUAUAUCAUUUUACUGUUGUGUGGUUUAUAAAAUAAGAUACUUUAUAUCAUUUAUUUUAAAAUUCGAGAUGCCAAAGCACAGAAAUUUGUGCUAAUUCAAAUAACUUAAUUCACAUCAUGCAUAUAUAUUUAAGUUAUAUUUUGAAUGAAUUGUUUAAUCUUAUUUUAAGGAGUCAAUUGAUACUUUAAGCAAUUUUUUGCUAAUUUUUUUUCAAUUGAUUUUUUAUUUUUUAGCUUAACUUGUCAGGAUUAUAUAUAUUUUUUUAAUUGACAAAAAACUUAUCUCUAAAUGUAGGUUAUUUAUAAAUUUAAAAGAGUGUUUAUAAAAGUAUAAAUGAUUUUAUUGUCAAUUAAAUAUUUUAAGAUGGUAAUGACAAUAAGGGCAAAGUUGGAAUUUUGUUUGUUGUUUAUUCAAAAUUGAUAAUAAAUUAGUGUAAAGGUUAUUUAUGAUAUUUCAAUUUUUAUAGGGGCAUUCAUGAUAUUAGACUUAUUUGGAAGGGUAGUGAUGAAAUUUUUCCUAUAUAUAUAUAUAUAUAUAGUCCCACUAUGGUAAGUUGAGAAGUAUCACUCAUGUGAUGCUUUUUUUAACUUUUGAAUCGACUUCUUUGAUUAUUUUCUAAUUAAUAUUAUUACCCUAUGGGGAUCACUCAACUCUAGGAGAUCACUAUUAUUUUAACUCUAAAACUCUUGAUCCAACGGUCAAAAAAAUUGGAAGCACUAACUCCUUUAUAUUUCUGAAAGCAUAAUAAUUCUACAACAUGCAUAUAUAUAUAUAUAGAGCUAGACUCAUAUGCCUUCGAAAGUACAGAGGCCUCCGUACUUAUAAAUUAUUUUUGAUGAUGCGAUAUUCGAUUUGGCGAUCGGUUCUAUUAGACAUGAUCUAUGCUAUUGAAACUAUUUAGAAAUCAAAUUUCAUAAUUUUUUGACUUUAUUUGCCUAGUGAACAAGUAGUCUAAAAAUAAAAGGUUGAAAAUAAAAAUUUCAUAAAAAAUAGUGAAAAAAGACUCAAAUUUCAAAUUAGAACUAUUGAUCUUGUUAUUGAUGUUAAAUAUAAUUUUUUAUUAAAGUUUCAUAUAAUUUAGAUUGUUCUACACCGUUAAACUUAAAAACGUGCCACAUAAACCGUUAAAAUAGUCAUUUUGCAAUCUUUUGAUCACUUACUAAAUAAUAUUUAAAAUAAAAAUCUCAUAAAAAACAGUGAUAAAAGACUCAAAUUUCAAAUUAAAAAUAUUGAUCUUGCUAUUGAUGUUAAAUAUAAUUUUUUAUUAAAGUUUCAUAUAAUUUAGAUUGUUCUACACCGUUAAACUUAAAAACGUGCCACAUAAACCGUUAAAAUAGUCAUUUUUUAGACAUUUUAAUCACCUUAGUAAAUGAUGUCAAAAAAUUAUGAAAUUUAAUUUCUACAUAGUUCCAACAGCGUAAAUUAUACUUAACAGAGCCGAUUGCCAAAUCGAAUAUUCUAUUAUCGAAAACAAUUUAUAAGGCUGGUAUAUGCAUGCAAAUGGGACGCUAUAUUUGUCUGAUUUUGUUGACUAAAAUCUUGUGUUUAAUUUCACUCCAAAAGGACAAGAAAAUUUGUAUGUUAGUUUAAUUCCUCUGAUUACAAUCAAUAGUAGAUAAACACCAAAAAAAAACAAUUAAAAGGUUACUGACAUUGAACAAGUAGAUAAUUAAGUAGUAUUCAUAUUGUAGAUUAAUCUUCAAAUAUACAAUAUUUUUACUGUAAUUAUCUGCUCUGUUAAUGUCACUAUCCUGAUAUUACCAACAAAAAUUAUGACAAACGCUCAAGCACGUGUGACACACUCACGCUCCAUGCACACACGCAGGGUUGCGAUGGCUCCGUCCUCAUCGACUCGACCGCGAACAACACCGCCGAGAAAGACGCCAUCCCCAACAACCCGAGCCUCCACGGCUUCGAGGUGAUCGACGCCGCCAAGUCGGUCGUCGAAGCCCAGUGCCCCGAAACCGUCUCCUGCGCCGACAUCCUCGCCUUUGCGGCCCGCGAUAGCAUCACCCUGACCGGCAACGUCACCUACCAGGUGCGACACAAGCAACAACUUAAGUCACUACAACAAAAACGGUAUAUAGCGACACUUUUAAAUGUCGGUAUAGAUCAAUAAAAGUGUUGCUGGCUAAAUUACCGACACUUUUAAAAAGUGUUGCUAUAUGUGGCGUCGCUAGGUUUAUAGUGACACUUUUUAAGAGUGUCGGUAUAACCUAAAAAGAGUGCUACUAAUAUACCGACACUUAUUUAAACUUUUAGCAGCACAUAAAAGUGAUGCAAAAUAAUAUUCUAGCAACACUUUUUUUAAUUUCAGCGACACUUUAUAACUGUCCCAUUUUCUUUAAAUAUUCAAAUUUUUCUUGAUGCAUCACACUUUAAAAUAUAAUACCACUCAAUGAUGAUUAUCAUUAAGCAUAUCUUUAAUUUUAUUCGCUUUGAUUUGCAUUAAAAAAGAAAGCAUAUAAAAGAAAUUUUAUAGUUACACAAAUUAAUACCAAAAUGUCUCGAAGUAUUAUCCAUAUAUCUUUAAACGAGUAUUUAGUCAGUAAAUCACAGUACCAAUAAUCUCUAGCUUUUCAACCCAAGAGAAGGAGAAAUAAAAACAAAAGCUAAUAAUAUCAUAUCAGAUCCGGUCGUAAUGAGCUCGGCAAUUAAGAUGUUGAACCUACAAAUUAAACAAUACUGAAGUUAAUAAAAGAUUAGUCAAACAAUCUUUUAACAUGAAAACCAAUUAAUAUAAAUUUAAUUUUACCUGAAGGGCAAUCCCGACUAAAGAAAAGAGAGAAGCUAUAUGAUGCACAAAUCAGGACCAUCAAAGCAAGUAUGAAACAAGUUCUAUUCUCUGUUUCGACUUUUUUUUCUGAUAAAAGAGAAAGUAGCAUGCACCUUUCACUACUGUGUUGAACAAACAAGGGCCUCUACCAACAGAAACAAUAUGAAUACUCUGUAAUACGGAACUAGAACCUUUGCUCAUAUAUUUUCAUUGAAUUCAAGUAAUUCAACUAAUCCAAUGAAAAGAAAAGGGAUGCUACAACGUCAAAAUACCAACAGAAACAAUAACUAGUAGUUGAAAAGAAAUACAGUAAACAACAACUGCACCUUACUCGAAACCCUAGCACCAGAUACCCCUAAAACUAUAUUUCAUUUUGCUUUUUCGGAUUGGAGCUAAAAGUUUAUCAUAUAUUAAAGCAUUUCCUUUGAGGAAGCAAAAAAGCCCGAAAGAUAAGACCCACUCAGUUAACAAUUGAAACACUUUAUUGCAUACAAUAAGUAAAUAAAUCAUGAAAAGAGAGAACCAUACAUUUCGACUGGUAAAAUUAGAAGUGAUGCCUUUACAUCAUAGAAAGAAGCAACUACUAUUGAUAAUGGAAAGAAGUACUAAAAGAGAAGGAACCAGAAGCAAUUAAGAAAAGCAUAGAAGAGAAUGAUUAUAACGCUAUCAAGUAAGAAAUAAUAAGGGAUUAGACAAAUGAGUAGCAUGUUGCAUAGCAAUAUUUUAUGGCGGUUUUAUAGCUAUAGAAUGUCAAAAAUCGGAGGCUUAAUAACUGUCCAUUCCUGGACAUUGAACUGAGAAAGAUUCUCGAAAAAGUUGUAACCAUCACUUGAAAAUCACAAUCGUAGUUCUAUAAAUAAGUUCCUAAAAUUGGACUAAUACCAAAUUACUCGAAGUACUCUUUUUUGUAGUUUAACAAAAACACUAGCAAAAUCUUGAGAUAGUACAAAGUUCAAAGCAGAAUCCAUGAAAAGCACUUCUAUCUGAAUUGUGCAGCAUAAUUUGCCCAAUUUUAAGAAAAUAUUAUGCGAUCCAUAACCAAACUGAAUUAUAAAUACUAACUAGGAAAAUGCUUUCAAAAUUGUCCACUCCAAAACUUGUCUUGUGAAUGAGCAGUGUUCAACGACCACCAAAAGAAAUAGUAGUGCUGGGCUCCUCCUAUAUUUGAACUAAACUCACCUUGGGAUCUGGUGUCUUAUAAGCAUAGACCGCAUUUUAAGCAUAGACCACAUUUUAAGCAUCACAUCUUUUAAGGUGUUGGAAACUAGAAGACCCACUCACCCACAGACAAGCAGAUGCAAGCUACAAUGUUGAUAUUGAACAGCUUAAAAGCAACAAAAUUAGGUAAAGAUGAACUCUGCAUUUUAAACACUAACAUCCAAUACACAACCAUGACAACUGAUUGCAAAGCAAACAAAGUAUACAGUAAACAAACAUCAUGAUCACUACAUUUAUUCUCGACAAAACAGAAAAGAGUGUACAAUUAUACUUCUCAACACAGUCUUAUUGCAGUUAUAUGAAGGCCAAAUGGACAGACCGCAACACCUGGUUGAGAGCGCUUAUGAAAUUCCAAGCAGCUUCUUGAUGUCUUUCUGCAAGUGGACACAAAAGCGUUUUUAACAGUCUUAUCACUCAGAAGUGAAGCUGAAAACAUUGCGGACUAAACUAAUUUUACCUCGAUGCUCAGUGGGGAGGUGGUUGGGGCAUAGCGGUCAACGACGUCCUUGUCCACCAAAAACUAUAGAUAAUAAGCAGAAUUUAGGCCUUGAAGAACAAAAUAUAAACACUAAUAACUCGUACACUUUGAGAAGAACCAAGUGUCCAACUAAAAUCUUUUACAAGUUCACUUCCAACGGACUAAACAAGGAAACCUACUCUGCUAAAUGUGUCCUGUUAACUUCAUCUGUAUAUUCAAGUUUGUGCGCUAGCGCAAUUAGUGUGAGUCCUACACAGCUGAUGCGACCACUUUUAGCAAUCCAAUCACACAAAAUUGUGAUACUCCUAACAAGGAAAACCUGAACUGUGUUUUAUCUUUGUUACUUUUAUUGGGGACCUUUUUUUCUCUCUUUUUUUCCAUUUUAGAACAUUCAAUGCUUCCAUUAUUAAUUGGCUGUAAAUAACAAGCUUAAAGUAGCUUAGUUUAGCUUUUUUAUAUUAUUUUAAUUUGAAGGUUACUCUGUUUUGCUUAUUCAUAUUGUAUGGAAGUGAACUUUUCUCAUACUUUUGCUGUUUUUUCUUUGUUUUGUUGAACUGUUUCUUAAUUUAUUACUCUCCUCCAAUGUCUCAAGGUGCCAUCUCUUUAUUUCCAGUGUAGAAAAUCAUUGCUUUUUAUUCCUGAUGGGCUGCGAAGUAAUAAAAAUAGGAAAUGGGUGUCAUAAAUCAGAACCCAAAAGUGGCUAAGUUGUACUUUGCCAGAGAAAUGGUUCUUUAUAUAUGCAUUGUAAAAGUAUAGUUUAACCUUGCUUCUUAUUAUUACUCUUAACUUAACUUGGGGUUACCAACUAUUCUUUUAAUAUAUCGUCUCAUACCAUUAUUAAUUUUCAUGUUGUUUCUUUAUUUUCCGGAACUAGAGUGUUAAUUUUUGCCUAUCUAUAUUCCUUUUGUUCGGUUCUAUCAGAUGAAGCUAAACUCUUCAAGGUAAGGAUUAAUAUGAAGUCUAGAUGUGUUUCAAAUUAUUAACAAAAAAAUAUGAUAAGGUUUUUCUCUUUUGUUUGGUGAAAUAUCAAUAGGCCUUAAAGAAGAUAUUUGGUUGACAAGUAUGUCUAUGUAAUCAACUACAACAACACCAGCAAAAAAAUAUUACAACCAAAAUUUUCUGAGAAUUAAUAGAAUCAAUUGAAAAGGAAAGCUUGCAACACACAAACUACACAAGUAACAUUACUAGCUAAAACAAAGGAAGAUCUGAAGCAAGACGAACAUAAUCUGAAAGGUAUGAGCUUCUAUUGUAAUAAGAUUUAGUAAUUUUAGGAAAGGAAACCAGGUCAUUGUCUAUCAUCUACAAGAAACGUCAAAACAUUCUUACUACUAAAAAAAUUCAUUGAUCAGUUAAGUUACAGCACAUCAAGCUUGCUUUCUAAGAUCAUGCUUGGAAAAAUCUGUUAGGAAUGAUGCUUGACUGUUAGGAAUGAUGCUUGGAAAAAUCUACAAACAGGAGACAUCAGAACGCAGUGAUCGUCGCAUAGGAUCAGUAACAUAGGAUUGCUAAUACCACAGGAUCAUCAGAAUACAGUGAUCGUAAAACAGAACACCACAUUGUAGUUAUCAGGGCAUGCUUCUAUGCAAUCUAAUGCAGAAAACAUCAUAAGAUGUCAAAAGAAAAGGUGGUGAUUAAAAAACAGAACAUGGCAUUGUAGUUAGCACUUAGCAGGGGCAUGCUUCUGCAUCAUGAAAUCUAGAAAACUUGUACUUUCAAAUUUCCACACAACCAAAACAUGUACUUCUAUGCGAUUAACAAGGGCUUUUACAGCAAAGAUCCAAGGUACGAUCCAAAAUACAUACCAUAUAUAAAUGGGAUAUAUAUAGGAUAAUCGAUCGAUCGAGCUCACCUUCUUCUCCGUCUACCCCUUCGACGCCUUCGACGCCGCCGCGAGCACCACCAGAUCGCCGGACUCCUGCUUCCCCACCACCGUCGUUGCCUCGACGUUUGGCGCUUACUCCUCCGGCGACGGUCCCCGCGAGAUCCUCGAAACCGAACUCCGGCCGCCGGAGCCCUAGCUUAUCGGUUGCGGCGACGGAGGAGCGGGAGGAGGAGAGCGAGGGGGUUUGAGUGAGGGGAGAAGAGGGUACGACCUAGGAGAAGACGAUUCGUUCGGAUGUGGAGGAGGAGGAGGAGGAGGAGGGGAACGAGGGGAGCGAAGGGGAGGAGGAGGAGAACGAGGGGAGCGAAGGGAGCGAUCAGAUUUGGUUUUUUUUUUUUUUUUUUUUUUGGUAUUUGGGCUUCUACUUGGGCCUUGCUAGGUUUUUUUAAUAAUUUAGGAGUUUUUGAAUCUUAUAAAUUUUGUUUGGAUAAUUGAGCUUUAUCUUUGGGCUUUACUAGUUUUAUUUUUUAAAAUAAAAAUUAUACAUAAAUUGGGACACUUAUACAAAAGUGUCCCAAAAAUGUGUCGCUACAACCCAAUUCUCUUGUAGUGAGUUGACAGAGAACGAUAUACGUCCGAUCAUUUGUUUACACUCGACGUGCGUUCCAGGUCCCUGCGGGACGCCGCGACGGCACCGUCUCGAACGCGUCGGAGGUCAUUCCAAACAUCCCAGCGCCGACCUUCAACUCGACGCAGCUGAUAAACAGUUUCCAGGCGAAAAACCUGACAGCAGAGGAGAUGGUGAUUCUCUCCGGCGCCCACACUGUUGGUGUGUCCCACUGCUCCUCUUUCCUCAACAGGAUCUACAACUUCAGCAACACCAGCCAGGUACGUAUAUAGUGCACACGGCUAUACCUGCAACUACUUAUAUUCUCCCAAUUCGUGGUUACCUCACUACAACAGAAUUAGGUUAUAGGAACACAUGUUUGGGACACUUUUGAGUAAGUGUCCCAUUUAUGCUAAAACUUAAAAAAACAUCUGCUAAUGCCUAAAUAUAAAGCCCAAUCCAACCAAAAAUAAAAGAUUACUCUACUCAACCCACCACACCCAGUCUAUUUGGCCCGAUUACAAACAGCAAAGAAAAAAAAAAGAAAAAUUAAUUGCCAUCUUUUCUUCUUUCUUCACUCAAUCCACUAAAAUUCUAGACGAAGAGCCUUUCCUGUCAUCCUUCUCCGCCACCGCAGCCAACGAGAUAGAGUUUCAGCGGUUGCUAAAUGCUUAAAUAAGUGCUGGUAAAUUAGCAGCACUUUUUUAGGUUACAGCGACACUCUUUAACUGCCACUAUAUACCUAGCGACCCCACAUAUAGCAACACUUUUUAAAAGUGUCGGUAAUUUUAGCUAGCAGCACUUUUUUGACAUGUACCUAUAUUUAAAUGUGUCGCUAUAGACCGUUUUUGUUGUAGUGCCUUCGCUAGUAUAUAUAUUUACGCCGACAAAAAAAAAAAAAGAGAAGAAGAAAAAGUAGGAGACUAAUCGAAUUGUGCGUCAAAUGAUGCGAAAGUACUGUUGUUCUUUAAAAACUAAAGCUACUGACCAAUAAUGUUUUUAAUGUUUGUGUUCAGUAUUAGCUCUUCCUCGCAUCUGAUUAAUUUCGAGAAACGUAAACUUCGAUUAAAUGAGGUGAUAUUGAUAAUAUCUACUCUGGCACCAUGUUAAAUAAGAUGAAACAAUUGUUAUUCUGAGAUGCUUUCAAUAAUUACAAUUAAUAUUGCAAGUAACCACCUGAAAUGUUUUUUUUUUUUAAAUUAAAUUUCAUGUUUUCUUAGAAGAAGAAAGAAUAUAUAAUUCGUGCCGCUAAGUGUGCAACAUUUUUGUUUUUGUUUUUUUUGGGAGAGAAAAGGUAUAUAUAUAGCUAGCUACUUUGUUCAUUCAUUAGAGAAAUGAAUUAAGUGUAUGUAUGUGUACGUGCGUGCAGGUGGACCCGACGAUGAGCCCGGCAUAUGCGAAGCUGCUGCAGGCGCUGUGCCCGUCGAACAGCACGCGGUUCACGCCCAUCACGACGGGGCUGGACGUGAUCAGCCCCGGCGUGCUGGACAACAAGUACUACGUCGGCCUGACGAACUCGCUGAGCCUGCUCACGUCCGACCACGCCCUCCUCACGGACGCCAACCUCAGCGCGGCGGUCAGCCGGUUCGCGACCCACCAGUCGGCGUGGGAGUCGAAAUUCACCAAGGCCAUGGUCAGGAUGGGCGAGAUUCAGGUCCUGACCGGGACCGAGGGACAGAUCAGGCUCAACUGCAGAGUUGUGAACAAUGCCUCCACUACUGCAGCAGCAGCAGCAGCAACUGGGUUUGGGUCUGUGGUGGGCUCUAGCCACUAUACUGCUGGAGGGGUGGCCACUAUCUAGUCUAAGUUAUGAUUGCAUGAAUAAAUUUUAAAAAAAAUUACAUAUAUAAAUAAAUGUAAGUGUGUAGAGAGAGAGAGAGAGAGAGAGAGAGAGAGAGAGAGAGUGUAAUUUGUGGUGUGAGAACUUAUUUUAUAUCUGCAAGCAUGAUAUUGGAGUUUAAUUUGGCUAAUUGCAGGGGUAUUAAUAUUAAGUAAUAUUAAUAUUAAUAUUAAGAUAGAAAUAAACUGGCGAGACACGUAAAUAUUUUGUUAAUGCGCUUUUCACUUAAACUGGAACUCAUUGACCCGACAGAUCGAGCAUGCUUUGGUAAUGUUUAAAUUUUUUUUUUUUUUUUUUUUUUUUUUAUUUAUGUAUGAUGGUUAAUUCAGUAGGACGGAUAACCUUAGAUUAACCUAGUUAACUUUCUCAUCGGUAUGGGUUACUCCGUGCAUCAGUACUGGUUAUUUUGAAACGCUGGCAAGAGUAUCAUCGAAAUGAGAGAAACUCAUAUUUUUCUAAGAAAAUAAUUUCUCUGUACGGUACCUACGGUCCCUAGCGCAAAAUGGUAAAAGACUUGAUGGUUGGUAUCUGCCACUUUCUCUCUUAAAAAAAAAAAAAAAUCCCCCAAUAAUAAACAAUGCCUGGACUUGGUCUAUCAUGUUAUCUCUAGACCAUAGCUAGGAGUGUAAUCUGGGCUGUGCCGCGCCGGCACAACGCAGAUUUUUUCGGCCAAAUCGUCCGGCGCGGAUUUGAAAUCGGACUGAGCCGGGCCUUGCUGGGCCAUGGACCCCUUAUUUAUUUAUUUAUAUUUAAAAAAUCAAAAUUGAUUAUAUUUUAAAUUAAUAUUUGAAAGAAUAAAAAAAGAAACGGGCCGGGCCAGGCCGGGCGGGUCGAUGGGCCAUCCGGCCCGUUUAACACCCCUUAACCAUAGUGAUAUAUCUCUAUAAAUUUUGUUUAUUUAGUAUUUAUAAAAAAUUUUAAACUAUUAAUAAUUUUAUUUAUUAAUAAACGUGACAGAGAGAUUGAAAGUAAAGAUGGAAUGGACGGAAAUUAGAUUGAGGUGUCUGCAGAAAAGUCUAGACAAAUUAUUUUACUCUGGAGGCAUGCAGUAAACAUGCGUGGAAAACCCCCUAAACUAUACACCAUUUUGAAAUAGAUGCAACUUAAUUUAAUUUUAUGUUAACACUUCUUAAUUUUAUAAUAUUUUUUUAUUAAAAAAUUAUUUUAGUAAGAUUGAUUAAAAGUUAUGUAAAAUUUAAUACGUUUCUUAACUAUUCGAAUUCAACUAAUAUAACUAUAAAUUUAUUAAAAUAUCUGUGGUUUUUUUUAUUAAAAUUGCUUAAAUUUUUUUGAAAAAAUUAAAAUUAAGGCCCAGUUUGGUUCAGGGAUAAAACAGGGAUAACGAAAACUUUAUCCCCGCUAUUCCGCCAAACGGGAUGAUUUUGGGCUGGGAUAUUUUAUCCCGGUCAAAUGUUGCUAUUCUCGGCUAUCGUGGAAUAGCUUGGGAUUUAUUAUUCUACCAUUUGGCAGAAUAAUGCUAUUCCAAGGUUUAAUUUCAAAUUUUAUUAAAAUUAUAAAUUAAAUUAAAACUAAUUAUACAGACAUAAUAUGUUAUAUAUUAUAAUAUAUUAUUUUUAUUAUAAAAUUAUUAAUUGUACUACUUAAUUUAUUACUCUAAUAAAUAUUUAAUUAGCUAUUUGAGUAAUUAAUUUAUUAUUUUAAUUAAUUUGCUAAUUAAAUAAUUAUUUAUUUAUUAGUGUACUUAUUCAAUAACCAAUAUUGAUAUUGAUUAAUAAAUUAAUAUUUUGACUAAUUUAAUUAUCUAACUGUUAUUAACUAAUUUUUUUAUUAAUUUAUUAAUUUACUAAAUUACUUGCCAUUAAUUAAAUUAAUAAUUACUAAUUAAUUUAUUAAUUAAUAUUUAGGGUUAUUUAGGGUUAAUUAGUAAAUUAAGUAAGUUGAAUUAUUAUUUAAUUAAUAUUUUAUAUUAAUUAAUUUGAUAAAAUAUUAUUAUAUUAAAAGUAUAAUUAUUCUUAUCCUUACUAUUCCAAUCUAGCCAUCGAAAUACUAUUUUACUUAUUCCCGAGAAAAACUCAAUUUUUAUCCAAACGCAAAAUUAAUUUUAUUCACGUUUAUUUCAAGAGUUGUACUUAUCACAUGGAUAGUCUAAAAUAGUCUAUUCUUGAACCAAACGAUACCUAAGAGAGUAUGCGUGCAAAAGAGGAAAUGGUGAGGGGGUGAUUUCAAAAUGAUCCAUAAUCAAGGGGUCUCCAUACAUUUUUAUUGGUGAAUAAUAGAAAGGUAAAACCAUACAGAACUUACUUGAACUAUGAACCAUUUUAACUAAACUAUCCCAAUCUUUAAAAAUUUUAAUUUAUUUCAUUUGAGUUAGUCAACAGUACCUUAACUAUAAAAAUAAUUAAGCUCAUUACUUAUUUUAAUGAUUUUAUAGUUGCCAAAAUUGCAUAAAAUAUGCUAACUAAAUCUUUAAAAGAUAAAUGGCGCAUUAAAAUUUUGAAGUUAAAGUUCUAUUGUGACUCAAAUGAAACAAAUUAAUCUUUAAUUCAAGUACAGAAGCAAAUGCCAUACAUAGUAAGUUAAUUCAGAUUUAGCAAAAAUUCGGUACAUGUACAAUACGAAUAAAAUUUGUAUCGCAAUUUUUAAAUUCGUGGAAAAAUAUGGCUUAAAAUAAGUGUUCGCCAAUUAUUCAGGUAUGCGAUUUAUGUGGAAAUUAUAUGUUCACCGAUUAAAAUUUCGGGAUCAAAAAUUCGGUUAUUAAAUUAAACAUUUUUCUCUAGAUUUUUACUACUAGGAUAAAUAUAUAGUUAUAACUCUUAAGAAUAAAAAAAAUAGAGAGACACAAAAUAAAGUAGAUUAAGUAAAAAAAAUAAUAGCAAAGUUUAUUGUCGUCUCAAUUUUCAUCUUUUUUAUGAUCACAUAUUCUGAAAAUUCAUGAAAGUUUUCAAUAAUUCGUCAAUAAUUUGCAAAUAAUUAGGCAAUAAUUCCUGAAUUAUAGAGAAAGGGAUUUUAUCCAAAAAUUUCUAUGUGCUUUUUUGGCCGAAUAAUUCGGCAUACGCGAAUUAUUCACGAAUAAUAAAUAUAACUUAAAAAUUCAUAAUUUAUUCCGAUUUUUUGAGAAAAAAAUUACAUAUGAAUUGUUUUAUUCGAAUUUUUAAUAAUUUGCGAAUAAUUCGGUAGUAAUUCGCAAAUUAACUAACUAUGAUGUCAUAUACAUGUGUAUAUGGAUUACUUGAUGUGAUAAGUACGUAAAUAAUUAAAUGAGAGAUAGGUACUCAUACUCUUUGAUCAAGCUAUAAGAGUUAACCUGAAAAUACAUUAACUCACGUAUUAACCUUGCUACGCUAAAGCUCAAACCAAGCACACACUUGAUUGAACAUUUUUCUUGCGGUGUGUAUUAGCCUUUCCAAUAAUCUCUUAACACACAUAUGUUUGUUUACCUUCUUCUACUUAGAUCUUUGUUUAAAGAAGCGCGCUGCGUAACUUACCAAUUAAAAAUAUUUAUAUUGAUUCUUUGAAAUACAAGACAAAUUAAAAAAUCAUAGUGUGCGUAGAAAAAACUGUCACGUGACACUGCACAACGUUGGGAAAAACUUUGAGUUUUUCACCAACACACAAAUCGUACUGUGUGCAUAUUUCGAAGAUAUUAGGUCAGACACAUAGAUGCUAUAAUUUAACGUGGUAUCAGAAUAGAACGUUUUGAGUUCGAGUCAUGUUAGGUUCCUCGGGUUAUUCAAUUUUCUCCCACCUAAUUAAGCCUCCGUCUUGGAUGUGUUAAAAAUCUCCGGUCCUCACAUGAAUAACUUUACAUUAUUUCAUAUAAACAUAUAUAUAUAUAUAUAUAUAUAUAUAUAUAUAUAUAUAUAUAUAUAUAGAGAGAGAGAGAGAGAGAGAGAGAGAGAGAGAGAGAGAGAGAGACCACCUACUAUAUAUUGCAUGCACUCAACUGAUAGCUAGGAAUCACUAGCAUAUAUUCACAUGCAUGUCACACAAAUACAAAUACAUAACUUGCAUAAAACGGGACUAACUAAUAACAUUAACAGUGAUAGUUAAACAUGAAAGCUAGACAUUGACUAUGUCUAGCUAAAACACCCUAACAAAGUCAACCUACAAACAUCUAAAUAAAAGAGCAAUAAAUUGCCUAUAUACUCUUCCCCAGCUUUUGAGGGGUAUAUUUGAAACGGGUAAAUAUGAAACUCAGAAACUCUUCAGAAGUACAUAGGCAAUAUAUAUAUAUUAUACCUAGCUAUAAUAUAAGCUUAGCUCACAAGUAACACCCUAAGUUAUAUUUCAUGGUUUCUUAACACCGCUUUUUUUUGCUUCCCCAGCAGGGAUCACAGGUAAAAAUCCGAUGCCCGGGAACCGUGGAAACGGGAGGAGGCCGACCAUUCCGCCGAAGCCGAAGAAGUUCUGCGGGUGGUAGGAACUGUUGUUGUUGCUGUUGUUGGGUUUGGUUUGGGCUAGGGUUCUUGCUUCAACAAGAGGAACAACAAUGGAAGUGAGGAGGAGAGAAAGGAUUAGGCACAUCUUAGUGAACUUGUCCAUGUUUGUUGCUACAAACUUAUGGAAGGGGUGCACACUACUAUGGUUUUUUCUUUUUCUUUUUCUUUUUCUUUUUCUUUUUUGAUUGCAUGGGUGGUGAGGUUUUGGUGCAUCUACUAUGGAUAUUUAUAGUUGGAGGAAGAGGUGGCUAGCUAGUUGGUUGGUCUCUUUAAGAGAAACCAUUUAAUUAUUUCCCCUCACCACAUUGGAGGUGUAGUAAAAGCAUUUAAUAAGUGCCUAGCUUGGUAAUAGCCGGACAACUUCUCUACUUCGGAAGUAGACGUUAAGAUGUUUACGAGUUAUUAGUUUCUAAAAGCAGAACAACUUCUCUAUUUCGGAAGCAGACGUUAAGAUAUUUGCGAGUUAUUAGUUUGUAAAAACAGAAGCUCUAGUUUUAGAUGAUCAUACUUUUAGGUGCAACAAAAAGUUCUUUUUUUUUAUUUUUUGAGAGAAAGAGAGAAAGAUAGAAUACUAUUUGUUUCGUUUCUUUUUUAACAAAAUGAUCUUAACUGCAAAUAUAAAGAAGUUAGGCUUCAAAUUCGGGACCUCGGAUAUCAACCAUCAAAUUCUUUUAUUACUUGCGCUAAGGACAGUCAUUAGGCGGUUUUACUGAAAUGAUGAUGAUAUUCGAAACCUUGGAUAUCAACCAUCAAAUUCUUUUAUCACUUACGCUAAGAACAGUCAGUAGACAGUUUUAUUGGAAUG